UCUCCUUCACUUUUUCCUCUAACUUUUCAUCAACCUUAACCUUUUCUUCCUCUUGAAUCAAUUCCUGUUUCUCUUUCUGUGCCUUGAGCUUUGCUUCCUCAUCCUCUAUCUUUUUCUUUGCUUCCUCCUCAUCCUUUUUCUUUGCAAUCUCAAGAGAUUGAAUCAAAUUCUUCAAGCAACUUUCAAAAUCUUCAGUGAUUGACUUUGGCAUCAAAUUCUCAGCAACAUCAGCAGGUGUCAUAUUAGUCUCUCCCAACAACUUUUCAAUAAUUGGAAACAAAUCAUCAUGAGUCUCAACAUCUAAGUAGUUUCUUGCAAGAACCUUGAAAGCUUGAUAGCUACAAUAAGACAUUUCUAUAUGCUUAUCCAUUCUUCCCCUCCUUAUAAGAGCAGGAUCAAGUUUGUCCACAAAAUUUGUUGUGAAAAUUAUUAUCCUCUCUGAUCCACAUGCUGACCAAAUUCCAUCAAUGAAAUUCAACAAACCAGAAAGAGUUACCUUACUUUCAUUUUUCUCUUCUUCUUCAGCUUUCUUAAUAGGAUCCUUCAUUUCAUCAUUCUCAUCAUCAUCUUUCUUUUUUUUCUUCUUCCUUUGCCCAGUGAGAUCGAGAGAACAAUCAAUAUCUUCGAUAACUAUAAUCGAUUUACUUGACGUUUCAAUCAAAAGUCUCUUCAACUCAUUGUUAUCCUUAACAGUUGUUAAUUCAAGAUCAUACACAUCAUAGUUCAUGUAAUUUGCUAUAGCUGAUAUCAUAGUAGAUUUUCCAGUUCCUGGAGGACCAUAAAGUAGAUAACCACGUUUCCAAGCCUUUCCAACUUUAGCAUAAUACUCUUUACCUUUCUUGAACUUAAGAAGAUCAUUUAAAAUCUCUUGUUUCUUUUCUGGUUCCAUAGCUAGGGUUCCAAAUCUUGCAGGAUGCUCAAAAGUUGUGUGAUUCCACUUUUUGCUUCUAUACCCCCACCAAUUACUACUAGGGUUAUUUGUGUAAAGCUUUAGUUGCCUAUUCUUGCUCAUAAUAGAUUUUCCUUCAUCCAACACAUGUUGAAUGUAAGAGGUAGUGAUGACUUCACGAUGCUUUUUAUGGAAGGUUAGGGUUAAGAAUCUUUUUUCAUCUGAAGUAGGAUAGUAAGAAAAUGAUUGUGAUUUUGAGGUGGUGUAAUUAGCAGUCCACCAAACUUUGACUCCAUUGAACUCAUCUAUGAUUUCUUCAUUAUCAUCCAUGCUUAGGACAAGUGGGUUUUGGCUAUCUUUGACAACUUCAGCUUUAAGUCUUCUAGCUCUUUGGGAUGAGUUAUCACUAAGAUAUGUUUGGAUGAUUUUGUAAGUUUCACUUUGUUUGAGACGUUCACCGGAUAAUUCAUGAAACUUUAUAUGGAUGUAUGGAUACAUAUAGUUUGUGAAUUUGUUUGUGUAUUUUAGAAAAUAUACACGAAGAUUAGGUGGGAAAAAUUUGUCAAACAUGGCAUAUACAAACAUUAUGCUAGCCAUGAUUGAACCUAGUUGUGACCAUAGUUCCCCAAUUUCCAUCUUCAUACUUUGAAAUGUUUAAAGGUAAGAGAAAUAUUUGGUUGUUUUUUUCUUUCUAACUUUUGUGUGGUGUAUGAAGUAAAAGGGUGUGGUAUUUAUAAGGAGUAUAAUAAGAGUGUUUCAUCACGUGUUCUUCCACAUGGAAAGUAGCAAGUAGGUUUCUUUAUAUUUUCUUGUGAGUUUCUUGGUGAUUACGUUUUACUAGAUGACACAAGAGUUGGUAAAUUCAUUCAUGGGUGUGUUGAAUAUUUUGGUAGUUGAACAUUAUUAUUUGGACCACUCAUAUGUGAUCUUGCACUAUGAUUACGUGUGAACUUUAGAAUUUGGGUUGAUGCAAAUUCAUUUUUUGAUUAAGGUCAUAUCACAUCUAGCUAAUAUGUGAUUUUUUUGAGACGGCCAAAAAUCUAAAAAGUGAUCCAAUAAUAUGUGAUUUAGUGGAUAUUGAAUAUGUUUUAAUUCUAUUUUGAAAGUUGAUUUGAAUAUAAUUUAUCACAAGACAGCUUGUGAAAUGACUUCCACAAAUAUAAUAAUUUUUUUUAUGUCAUAUGACAUCGAUCCAAUGCAUUAUGCACUAGCAAUACUUGACUAUAAUAAUUCUUUAACUCAAAUUAAAUUGCACUAGUAAGGUUUUCUCAUUGACUUCUACUUGACUAUAAACCAAUAUGACAAAAGGGAAGGUUGGGCCAAUUGGCUAUUUCAUAAAAGCGUGGUUUCAAACUAAUAUGACCAUUGCAUAUUUAAAGGGUCCUCAUUUAAUAUCAAUAAAGAUAGGUAGACACCUGUAUAUUCUUUUGUAUUAUUUUGGAAAAUUUAAGUUAAUCAAAUAUAUGGUCUGCGGGAUCACAUUUUUUUCAGUUGUGUAACCACUAUUUUUUUAGUAUUUAAAAGCUGAAAAAUAUGGUCAUGCAACUAAAAUACGCGUGACCAUUAUUUUUCCACUUAGCUAACUAAAUAAAUUAUGGAAAAAUAGUGGUUACACAACUAAAAAAAUGUGGUCACACAGAUGGUAUAUUUGGUUAACUUAAAUUUUUCAGAGUGGUACAAAUUGAUAUACACAUUAAGGCUGUCUACCUAUCAUUGCUCUUUAAUGUAGACUAUCCCAUCAAAUUUGAUACCAAGGCGAAUCAAACAUAAAAUCUUGAUACAUUGAUGUGUUGCCACUCUCUUAAUCUUAAAUUCUGCCACGAAUUUCCAAGAUCCGACUCACCUAAACUUAAUUUAUAUAACAAAAUAGAGGCGUUCAAGCUCCUCUCCUUUAUUAGUAUUUUCUUUAUGUUUUCUCUAUGCAUAUCGCUUUCCUAUAUGCAAACAACACGAGAAGAUGAUCCAAUUUUAAAAACACUCCAUAUAUAUUUUAACAAUAUUUGAAGUUGACAAUAAAAUGGCAAAGGAGUUCUAUUAUUUGCGUGAUGCAAAGGGGGGAAGAAUCUCACCCAAACAAAUUAUCGUAAUUUUAAAUAUUAUUUGAUUCAUAAUCAAACAAAAAAGUUGAUUAUUUGAAUUUUUCAUGCUUUAUUUCUUUAUUGUAAUAAAAGGGAAGAAAAAGGAGAACGAGGCCUAAAUAAAUAAAUAAAAAAUAGGGCCCACAUUUUGGACUUGUUUGAUUAAUGACUCAUGAUUUACUACUUUCAUGAUAAUAAAAACUUGAGCUGAACAAGACUAACGUUAAGGAGGAAAGUUCACAGAAGACUUGACCAUGACAUUUAUUUUGCAUGUUCCUCUUGGUGGAUGGUUAAUUUGACCCCAUAUGUCCUUUCUUUUAGGAAUGGGAUGGAACCAGCGUUAAGGAAAGUUCACAUAAGACAUGUAUUUUUUUUUAGUGGGGCAAUGUUAAUUUGUAGAGAAAAAUAUAGAAAAUUAGGGGGACAAGAUUACUUGAUGGCCAAGAUUUAAGUUACCAAAUUUGUGAUGAAAAUUCAACACACCAUGCACUAGAGAAUCCAAGAAACACUUGCACAUGUGCGGCAGAUCCAGGAAUUUUAUAGAGUCUGAGCAAAAAAUUUAUUACAAGACGUUACUUCCUUCCUGCGAAUAAUUUCACAUUUCCUGCAGAUAAUUUCACAUUUCCUGUCGAUAUACUUUUCCUGCGGAUCCUAAAAUCCUAUGGUAUUACCUCACCUGGGAACCUAAAUCCUUGACAAAAUCUGCAGGAAAUGUAUUUCCUGCGGAAUUUACACGAAAAUCCGCAGAUCAAUCCGCAGAAAAAGCUAAAAGUUCUAGGAAUGGUUGGGUUUGCUACAAAGAAAGUUGGAGCUAAACCUGAACUAGUGCCCGAGUUAGCUGGGGGUGGCUCCGCCCCUGUGUACUCUAAGUCCCAACAUAGUGUGAAACAAACCCAAGAAAAUGCACAUACCUACCCUCUAAAGCUACAAUAAAUCACAUGCAGAAGAAUUUAUUGUGCUAAUAUGGUGGCCCAUCAAUGUUGGCUAAGAAAACACUCUACCUUCAACAUCAAGCGCAACAAAUUACCCAAAGUUAAUUUGACGACACUAGACUAGGAGAUAUACUUCUCAUAGAAGGCUCUAAAUUGAGAAUUGGUCAAACUAAACGCAAACAAAAUGAAUUCCAAUUUACCCUUGUCAAAAACUCGCAUUCCUACGGUAACCACAUCAAUGACGGUUUGAUCAAGAUCAAAUUAUACAUAUUUAAAGGUUGGAGGAUCUAAGUUUUAAAAAGUCAAAAUCAAUUUAAAAUAUCCAUUAUCGAUUCUCGAUCCAACAAUGUCUAACGUUGUGUUGCAUGUGUGUGAGGCUCUUAGGACCACAUGAAAUCUAAUUUCAAUAAAAACGUGGUUCCAAAAACAAAUCAGAGACUCUCGAUAGGUAAAAAAACAAAAUUACCAUAAGAGAACUGUAUCUAAAGUAUGAGUUAUCAAUAAAAAGUACUUAAUAAUUAGGAAUAUGUGCUAUUAAUUUGUUCUGGAUCAACAUAAAACCCAACAAGAAAGGCCCAAUAAGCCAAGACCGAUUUCGCUCCGGGUCAAGUAUAGCAAAGGUGCACACGAGGCUCUGUGCGGCUUACCACAUAGGAGCACACCUAGAGUUAAUAUCCGUAAUUGAAGCCAUCCUUAACGAGUUAUGUACAUCACGCCACAAAUCAGGGAGACAAUCAUCAACCUCCUCGCCUAUAUAAGCGCAACUCAGUGUCACACUCAAGGUACUGUUCAUUCACCACCUUUUCGCACAAAUCCACCUCUUUUUGAUACUUACUUGAGCGUUGUACUACUAGCAUGUCUACAAGCACCAUUCUCCUCUGCCAUAGAAGAUUGCUUUGCUCCAUGCGCACCACCGCAACAACAACUAUUUCUAUAAGAGAACCACCACUACAUCUCCUUGCUAUGCACCGGACAUACCAUAAUUUUUUUUUUUACCAAUGUUAUAAAUUAAAUACUAUAGAAGCUGGAAUCUAUUAAAUAUGAUAGUUUAAUAAGCGACACAACUUGGUUUUAGGCCCCGUUUGGAUUGGCUUAUUUUGAGCUUAUGUGGGCUUAUCUACUCCCAUAAGCCUUUUUAAAGGUGUUUGGGUAAAUAAAUAAAAAUAGCUUAUCAUAGUUUCAUGAGCUGCUCAUGCCAUAUUUUAAUAAGCCUAAAUUUUCAGCUUACCCUCUGGCUUAACAAGGAGCUUAUGAAUUUAUGUAACCUCCUUCGAUUCUCUCUGGAGCCACUUUUUCAAAACAUAUAUUUUAAUUAUAAUUUUUUUUGAAGGAAUAUUUUAAUUAUAAUGUUAGUUAUCUUUGGCGGUGCAUCAAUAACAAAAUUGCUAUAUACUUAUCUUAUUAAAGUAACAAACAUAACUAAGAUUUUUUUUUUUUUUUAAGAAGAUUUUUAUUAUUUUUUGUGUUACGUAACAAAAUGAAACUGAAUAAAAAAACAAAUUUAACUUGUCUUUUUUGGGUAAAAAACUGCACACUAAUAUCAAUAUAUAUGAUAUGUUUAUUUACACCUCUAAUGUUAAUUUUGUCUUAUAUGAAUAUUGAUAUUUUUUUUAGGACAAAUAUUGAUUAUACUAUAUAUAUAUAUAUAUAUAUAUAUAUAUAUAUAUAUAUAUAUAUAUAUAUAUAUAAUUAUAAUUAAUAUGUUAUAAUAUUGUUUUUUUACGCCUUGAUUAAUUUUAUCAAAAAAAAUCUUGAUAAUUGUGGUUCAAUUCUUUGAUUUUUUUGUUAAAUUAAAAAUAUUUAAAAUUUCGAUAAUUGCUUAUGUAAUGUCACAUCCAAACACUUCAAUUUAUGUAAGUACUUUUUAGUGUACAUAUCCAAACAUAAAUAGCUUAUCAAGUAUAAGAGCUUAUGAUAUAAGUUCUAAUGUUAUAAACACUAAUGCUAUAAACAUCUAUAUAAGCUGUUUAUCCAAACGGGGUCUUAGUUUUAAGGAAAACUUGGUUCUUUACAAGCCAAUUAGUCUUUAUAUAACUCGUUCUUAUAUAGCCUUUGAUAUAGUGUUCUAUUUACGCGACCAUUCUUUGAUAAAUACUUCAUCGUUCAUUCAAAUAAUAUUGACCAAAUUAUACUCUUCUUUCAUAAAGAGAAGCUUGAAUCACGCCUCCAUUCCUCGAGAAUUAAAACCUUACUCUAAAUAUUAGGAUUAGGCCUACCUCAGCCCUAUAAAACUAGAGUGUAAGGCGAUGACUACCUCUAACUUAUGGACAUAUGUUCAUGCCAUUUCUUAGAAUAUCCGUGUUGAUUCGGAGAAGGCUGAAGAAUUACAGGAACUUUUAACACAAGUUUCACCGAAGGUAUGUGAUACCAUUCUGUUGGAUAUGAAAGAAAUACAAAAGUUUUACGGUAAAGUCUUGUUAUUCGAUAUGUUGCUUAGCAUGAGGAAUGAAGUCGUGUUUAACAACAACUUUCAAGAUACACACUGACAUAAUUGUUUUUAGGAGAAUGCUAAUGAGUGCCUUUGGAGCAUUGGUUAAGUUCUUAAAAUUAGUAAGUUUGCAUCAAAAAGUGGUGUAGUUAUUGCAAAACAAAAGUAAAAAUUUAUAUUUUCAAGACAAAGUUUCUACUAAUGGAUUCCUUAACCAAUGUCCUUAGAGCACUGGUUACCAAAACCUUUUUUAUUUUAUAAAAUUAUAGGGUUGACUUGUUAAAGCGACCCUUAAAAAAAAGAUCACCUUAGCAAGCCGACCCUAUGAUAUAAGACAUUAAAUCGAUGUAUGAAAAAUUAUUUUUGUUUGGCCUUUUUUUUGUACAAAUUUUUGUUUGGCUUUCUAUUAGGUGGAAUUUGGAUGCAUUGGAAAACUUUAUUGCUCUUAACACCUUGGUAAUUGGUAAAAGAUAAAUGUGCAUAGAAAUUGCUUCAUUUAGUGUCGUUAGCUACAUUAUGAAGUACUAUUUGGUUGAUGAGAAAUGAUUUUCUUUUCAAUAGAAAUGUGGCAAAUAUGACUGGAAUAUUUGAUAAAAUUUAACGGUUGUUUCGGUAGGGUUAGAAUCCUAACUCGUUUCGGUAUGUGUGGAAGAUAGGCAAAACAAUUUGAUUUUUAUAUCCGUGGAAUAGCCCACUAUCAUACAUUAAAAAUAGGCUAAAUAUCACUUUUGGUCCUUUUAAUUUGAAAGAAUUCUCAAGUUAGUCGUUUAAGUUUCAAAAGUUUCAAUUAGGUCCUUUUAAUUUGACAGAAUUCUCAAGUUAGUCCUUUAAAUUUCAAAUAGGUUUUUUUAGUUGAUAAACUAUUUCAUUGUUACCCCUUCUAUCAGUCUAAUUUUAACUGAUGCUGAUGUAGCCGUUAAGUUGUUGACUUGGAUAAAAAUGCUAAGCUCCAGGGUGUCAAAACGCUACAUUUAAUGGUCACAAAUGAUCAUUUAUAGUGCUGGAACGAUCAUUUGUUACCAUUAAACGUAACGUUCUAACACCCUGAAGCUUUUAAAAAACAGCGUUUUGAUCCAAAUCAACCACUUAACGGCUACAUCAAUAUCAAUUAAUUAUUAACUAACAACAGGUAUAACGGUGAAAUAGUUUAUCAACUAAAAUGACCUAUUUGAAACUUAAAUGAUUAACUUGAGAAUUCUGUUAAACUAAAAGGAUCUAUUCGAAACUUUUGAAACUUAAAUGACUAACUUGAGAAUUAUGUUAAACUAAAAGGACCAAACGUGAUAUUUAGCCUUAAAAAUAUGAUUUUUUAAAGUGUAUUGGGUUUUUUUUUUUUAAAGAAAGUGUAAUGGGUUUUUAAUACCCUUGUAUUCAUGUUAAUGCAUUUGCUUAUAAAAAAAGUCGCUUAUCAGUAGAUCACACUUAAUUUUCAGUUCAUGAUUGAUGAUGAAAUCACAUAUUAGAUGUAAUGUAACUUUAAAUAAAAAAUUAGUUAGUCUAAAAUCAAAUUCCAAAUAUCGCACUCUAUCACUUUAAAAAGGAAAAUUAAAAAAAUAUCAUAGAAAUUGUUAGUAUGUCAUAAAUAAUAAUUUUUUCAUAAAGAAUGAUGCAAGGAUGAAGGAUAGUGCGAUUGAAAACGAUAUAUUUUGUCUUACUGGGAAAAAUAUUUAGCCGGCAUUCCAAAUAAAUAAUGUUCAAAUACCAUUUUUCGUUUUUAUAUAUUUUCUUUGGUUAUGUGAAUUUUUGUUUCUUUUGUCGUUAUUUGUUAAUCUAACCACUCUUUGAUGAGUUCAAUUCUCACUGUUUUUGUGAACUUUGAGGCAUGCUUUAUGCUGGUGAGUCUUGAAGUCAAGAGAAACUCUUGCAUGAUCACAACCCUAAAUUGAAAAUAAGCUUAAUAGCAGUUUUCGCUCUCCAACUUUUACAAAGUUGCGAUUUUGGUCCCCUAAAAAAAAAAAAUACAAAACCGUCCCCUAAGUUUUGCAAUUGUAGCAGUUUUGGCCCCCCAAUGUCAAUUUUUGGUAAAAUAAAUAAAAAAAAAAACACGUGGUACCUCACUUAGGGUGCCUUAGGGUGCCACGUCAACGUAGAGCGAGUCAAAAUUGGUUUUGCGGGCCAAAACUGCCACAAAUGCAAAACUUAUGGGACUGUUUUGUAGUUUUUUUUUUCUUCUUAGGAGGUAAAAGCGCAAUUUUGAAAAAGUUAGGGGUCUAAAACUGCUAUUAAGCCUUAAAAAUAUUUGAGUGCAUACACGCAAACGACAUAAAUUAAAAGAGAAAUAAACCAAUCACACCAUUUUUUACUUUUAUUUUUAAAUUUUUCUUAUUCUAGUGUGUGUGCCUAAGCAUAUUUUAUUUAUGUUUGUAACCAAUUUAGACUUUCUUUUAUUAAAAAGAAAAAUUAACUACUCUUGUGUCUCAUAGUAAAACAUGGCCCCCAAGAAACUCACAAGAAAACAAAGAGAACCUACAUAGUCUUUUCCAAGUUGUGAAAGAAGAACACUUGAAAACACUCUUAAGUAUCAUACUGCUUAUAAAUACCACACACCUAUUGAGUUUAUACAACACAAAAGUUAGGAUCAUAACCAUAUACAUUACCUAACAUUUAAACAUUUCGUAUCAUAAGAGAUGGGAAUUAGGGAAAUAUGGUCAAACCUAGGCUCAAUAAUGGCUAGCAUAAUGUUUGUAUAUGCCAUGUAUGAGAAAUUCUUCCCACCAGCACUUCGUAGAUAUCUUCGAAAAUACACUCACAAAUUCACCAACUUCAUGUACCCUUACAUCAAAAUAACCUUCUAUGAGAAAUCAGGAGAUAAUCUCAAACACAACAAAACAUACACAACCAUCCAAACAUAUCUUAGUGCUAACUCUUCACAAAGAGCUAGAAGACUUAAAGCUGAAGUUAUCAAAGAUAGCCAAAAUCCACUUGUUCUAAGCAUGGAUGACAACCAAGAGAUCACAGAUGAGUUCAAUGGUGUCAAAGUUUGGUGGUCAGCAAAUCACAUCACCUCAAGAACACAAUCAUUUUCAAUAUACCCUAGUUCAGAUGAGAAAAGAUUCUUAACCCUAACUUUCCAUAAAAGGCAUCGUGAACUCAUCACUACCUCUUACAUACAACAUGUUUUGGAACAAGGAAAGGCUAUAACAAUGAAGAAUAGGCAGUUGAAGAUUUACACUAACAAUCCAAGUAAUGAUUGGUUUAGGUAUAGAAGCACAAAGUGGAGUCACACAACUUUUGAGCACCCGGCAAGUUUUGAAACACUUGCUUUGGAACCAAAAAAGAAAGAAGAGAUUCUAAAUGAUCUUGUUAAAUUCAAGAAAGGGAAAGAGUAUUAUGCUAAAGUUGGAAAAGCUUGGAAACGUGGUUAUCUACUUUUUGGUCCUCCAGGAACCGGUAAAUCUACCAUGAUAUCGGCUAUUGCUAAUUUCAUGAACUAUGAUGUGUAUGAUCUUGAAUUAACAAUUGUCAAGGAUAACAAUGAGUUGAAAAGACUUUUGAUUGAGACGUCGAGUAAAUCGAUUAUUGUUAUUGAAGAUAUUGAUUGUUCUCUCGAUCUCACCGGGCAAAGGAAGAAGAAAAAAGAGAAAGAUGAUGUUGAGAAUGAUGAAAAGAAGGAUCCUAUAAAGAAAGCUGAAAAAGAAGAGAAAAAUGAAAGUAAGGUAACUCUUUCGGGUUUGUUGAAUUUUAUUGAUGGAAUUUGGUCAGCAUGUGGAUCAGAGAGGAUCAUAAUUUUCACAACUAAUUUUGUGGAUAAACUUGAUCCUGCUCUUAUAAGGAGAGGAAGAAUGGAUAAGCAUAUAGAAAUGUCUUAUUGUAGCUAUCAAGCUUUUAAGGUUCUUGCAAGAAACUACUUAGAUGUUGAGUUUCAUGAUGAUUUAUUUCCAAUUAUUGAAAAGUUGUUGGAAGAGACUAAUAUGACACCUGCUGAUGUUGCUGAAAAUUUGAUGCCAAAGUCAAUCACUGAAGAUUUUGAAAGUUGCUUGAAGAAUUUGAUUCAAUCUCUUGAGAUUGCAAAGAAAAAGGAUGAGGAGGAAGCAAAGAAAAAGAUAGAGGAUGAGGAAGUAAAGCUCAAGGCAGAGAAAGAGAAACUAGAAUUGGCUCAAGAGGAAGAAAAGGUUAAGGCUGAUGAAAAGUUAGAGGAAAAUGUGAAGGAGAAUGGUGUGAAAGAGAAUGGCGUCAUCCAUUGAUUUGGAUUAGAUUAAUUUCAGUAUUUAAGUCAAUUUAGUGUAUUCAGUAGUCUAAAUAAUAUUUUGAACCUUUUAUAUAAAAGCAUGGUUAAGUAUUAUUAUGUAUAUGUUCAUAUUUUUUGUUUUAAUCAAGUAAAUAAAAAGGCUAGAGAGGAGGAGGAAGCAAAACUAAUGAAAGAGAAAGGUAAACAAGAAAAUGCUCAAGAGGAAGAAAAUGUGAAGGCUAAUGAAAAUUCUAAGGAGAAUGGUUUCAUCCAUUAACUUGGAUUGGAUUAGUUUCUGUAAUAUUAAUAAUAUUUUUAAACUUUAUAUUAAAUCCUUAAUAAUGUAUUAUGUUGUUCCUCUACAAAAAUAAAAAAAGUAUUAUGCUGUUCAUGUUGGUUGCUUUUGAUUGUUAACGGCCAUGUUUAGGUGUUUGCAAGGGGAAAUUAGUAAAUUUUUCUGCACAUUUUAGGGCAAAUUUGUUGUUGUGCACAAUUGUGAGUUAUAUGUUUCACAUCGGAUAAAAUAAUAAAAGUUGAACACCUUAUAAGUAAGAGGACCCCAUAAACUCAUUGCCUUAAGGUUUUGGGUAAGAGUGUGGUAUCUCUCUUGCUUGAGUGGUUGUUCUAGCCUCGAUGUGGACGGUCCCCCUAACUCCCCUCAUGAUCCAACAAAAUCACAUCAAAGAUUAUGUAUAUUAGGAUUAGGAUAGGAUAGGAUAGGAUAGGAAUGGAUUAGGAUAGGAUAGGAUAGAAUUAUUUCUAAACUUUCUUUUUUGUUUACAAAAUAAAAAAUACCUCACUUUCAAAUUAAACAUCAAGAUAGUUCCACGUCUAAAAUUUCUACCACGUCUAGUUCAAGAUAUCAAGGAUAUAAUACCUUCAACCUACAACAAAUUUCAUUAAUUUGUUUUUAAGAAAAUGAAAUUGAUUAAAAAAAAUCAGAAAGGAAACAUUUUAAAAAAAUAAUAUUUACUUUUCUGCGUGAAAGAUCAAAUGGGCUAAUAAUUAGAAUGUGAAUAAAUUUGAGGUGUAUUGUGUGAUUAAGUGGAAUCUAAUUUAGAGUUUUAGAUGAGUAGUAUGAAUAUUUAAAAAAUGUAGUUGAGUGGUUUAAAUAAUUGGGAAGUGUGAAGUAAUAUAAUGUAUUAUGUGAAACUCAUUUAUACCACCCAUAUCGGUGGCAUGAUGUGGUUGCUAUGGGCUAUAUAUAAUGGCCAUACUUGGUGAAAGCUAUUGUGAGAUGGAUAACUCUACUCUACCGAUCUUUGGUAUAUGUACAAACAAAAAAUUUGCCUAAUAUUAUAUUACUUGUUUACGCAAAUUUGACAUUAAUUGUUUAAUUUAUACUCUAGCGAUGUUACCCGAUAGAAGAAUACAAAUGCUAAAGGAUGAUUCUGAUGUUAACAUUCUAUCAUCUAAUAUUUAAGCAUGCCAACUCUUAUGUUUUUUUAAUGAAAGUUGAGCAUGCUAACUUUUCUUAUUUUAGGAUUACAUUUCAUCCCGUUUCAACUACAAAAACAUCAGAAAAGUUCAUCAAUUGAGAGUAAAACCACAGAUAACAUAAAGCACGCAUGGAAACAAUUAGGGUCACUUAUAUAGCCACAAUCAUGUUCAUAUAUGCCAUGUUUAAGAAGUUAUUUCCUCGUUCCUCCUGCUCUAGUUACAUUAUAAAAAGUCUGAAAUCAACCAAAAGAGAAAACAUACUAAGACGGAAGCUUAACAUUUUCAAUACGCGAUUAAGCCUCCAAAAAUGAUAAUCAAAAUUCAAAGCAACAUAUAUUAAUUUCAACCAUAAAAUAAAAAAGACGGAGGCUUAACAUUUUCAAUCAAAGCUUACAAAUGCUUCUCCUUGUCCUGAAAAAAUCAUUUAUUCCUCACUUAGUGAAUGACCCAAAUCACGAAAAGUCAAAUAAUAUUAAGAGCCGAACAUUUUUAGAAUAACCCCCUAACCCACCAAACUAACCGAGGUAAUCCAAUAAAUUGCCUUGAGAUGUCAUUGAGAAACCUAACCAACUUGAAAUUAGAGGCAAGAUUCUACCAUACAAAUCACAUUUCACAAAUAAGUGAUCCAUGUCUUCAUUCAAACCAUAAUUUACCGGAUAAUAAUCUACCACCUAUGGAAAUUAUCCUUUGUUGGAACACGGUUAAGAAGCAAACACCAAACAAAAAUAUUAAUUUAGUGGAACUGUUUUUAACCACAAAACAUGAUUGUUAUCCAGAUAGGUGUUGUCUUCCACUUCAGUCAAGUUGUUAUAAACACUACCUACCGUAUAACAUUGGGAGGAAUGUAACUUCCAAACCCAUCGGUCCCACACCUUAACCAACAAAACAACUUAAGAUAAUCGCUCAACGCACUCCCCCACCAACUUCUCAUCUCAAGCAAACAAUCUCCUUCGCCACUUCCUCGUCUCACCGUUCACUCCCCAGCCUAAAGCAUUCAUAUCUGCUACAUCAUCAUUUUGUUUUCUGCUAAGUCAUAAAGCCUACUAUAUCUAAUGAUGAUAUGCUGUCAUUAUGUAAUUUUUAGGACUUAUUUUGACAGUUUGAUAGAGUUCUAAGGCAAUAUGAGGUAACCAGGGGUGUGAAAAGCUGAAAUUCUAAAAGUGCUGAAAAUAGGCAAUCGUGGCGCGAUUUUAUGUAGCAUGGCACGAUUUUGUGACCAGAGUGAAGGUUUGGUUCUGCCACUAAAAUCGUGGUACAAUUUCUGGUGGCGUGGCGCGAUUUUGCAGAAUCGUGUCUCGAUUUUGGGUGCAAAAAAUAUUUCCUAUUUUAGUUGAAGUCAGUGCUAGAAACAAGGGUUACGAUUUUGGAGAGCAAAAGUGAGAUUUUGAGACCUGAAGACUUCUAGGGGGCGACUUCAUCAACCUUUUAUCGGUUCAUGUAUGUUUUAAUUCUUAUAUUGAUUAUGCUAUUUGUAAACUCAAUUAUGAGUAGCUAAAUCUCUUAGAGAUUAGCUCUGAGAUGAUUCUAUGUCACCCCAAUUGAAAUAUGUUGUUGUGAAACUCUAUAUAUUGUGAAUAACAAUCUAGUUUUUAUUCAAUUCAAUUGUUCUUAAUGUUUUUUAUAUCAUGAUAAAAUAUAAACAUGAUUUCGUGAUAAUGAAUGACUACUGACCCUAGCUUUCAACUUAGACCUAAUUGAAUUGUUCAAAUAAACAUGGUUAGUCUAGGAAUGGAUAAUCUUUUAUUUGUGAUAUUAAGUUAACGUUCUUUAAAACCUUCAAAGAAUAUUAGACCACCUAAGGAAUUAGGGGCUGUAGUUUGAGAAGAGGGUCCUAUGUCAAGGGAUUGAUUAUGGCUAUUUUGUUAACCAUCGUGAAACUAGAGAAUCAUUCGUAAGAAAUAGGUGCAGUAUACCAAUUAGGGGGACUUAGAGGAUUCGAAAGACUUGAUCUCAUCUAUCUCCUUAUCUUUUCCAAAACUAUCUUUAUUUUCUGGUAAAUUAAUUUUAUACAAUCAAAUCUACUGCCUCAGACACCAAAAUAAUUUACACAUCCUAGAUAGUAACCUUAUUGCUAGACUGAGAUUAACACAAUCCUUGUGGAUACGAACGUAUAAAUUUUAUUACUUAAUUCAAUUCAUUUUUAGUACACUUGCUAAUAGUCUAUCAUCUAACAUUCAAAGAAAUUUUAUCGAGCCAUGGAUCUCUCCAAAACAGGGUAGAAUACCCAUCAUCCACCUCACAACCAAUAUUAUUGAGCAACCAACCCCCAUCUACGAAUCCAACACCCUCUCUAAUCUUAUUCACAUUCUCACAUCAAACAUAUCCUCUACCUCCCUCAAAACACGUUCCCCCUCCUUCCUCGCCAUACACAUCACAUUGUUGAAACAAAAAUCUUUUUGAUGAAUGUUUUAAUGAUAACAAACCUUAUGGAAUAAACACUAAGUUUUAUGAAUUGUGAUCUAUUGAUGUUUGCAUUUGAGUCUUUUCAAAGAAGUUGACAAGAAAGAAGUCUCUGACAAGUGCAUAUAUAUACUCAUUGAAAGAAUACCAAAAUAGUAGUAUCACAAGCUCAAAGAAGAUAUAAAAAGAAUAUUGUUUGAAUCAAAUGAGUGUUGAUUGAAGAUUCAACAAGAAGAUGAAUUUUAUGAUCAAUUGACUCAUCCUUGUCACCACUUGGUUUUCAACAGAGCCUUAAAGAUUCGAGGAAUAAAGAGUUAAUAUUUGAAAGGAAUGAUCUUCAAAUGAGUAUUAUGUUGUCCAUUUUGACAUCAUUAGAAUCUCAUAUAAAGACAUCAUAAGAAGGAGAAGAUCAUAAAGCUACUAACGAGCAACCUGCUUAAAAAGAUUAUGCUUAUUGAUGCUUGGAAUUCUCCAUCCAAAAGGGAAAAAAAUCCGAGAAAGAAAAACAUGUUUUUCUCAUUUAAUCUCAAAGGUACACUCAUUUAUAAGCUUUAUAAUAUCUGAAAAUUGAUAUGCAAUGUUUUGUUAUAAAUGAUUGGAUGCUCUUAGAAAUGCAUGAUAAAAUCAAUUCCAAAAAUAUGCGACUUUAAACCUUAGUUGUGAUUUGUGAUACAUGCAUCAAUCUAAUUCUUAGCCUAAAAUGAAAUAAAUCAUUCAUUAUUGGUUCCUACUCCUUUCAUGGAAAUAUAAUAUCCAUAAACAUUUUUAUAAUUCAGUUUUGAUGAUUAAAACUGUUGCAUAUGUAUUAUGUUUUGAGAAGACAUGUUAAAAAUGCAUUUAAUAUGAAUUUGUGUGUUCUAAAUUCAAUAAGGAGUUAAUGUUGUAUCAGGAGAAAUUUCUGCAUAAUAUUCCAUAAUUCUACACUCAGUUCUUCUGAGAUAUCUUUAUGAAUGGUAAAUGAUUCAACAUCAUUUUGACAAAAUUCAUCUCUCGUUAUUCUUAAUAAAAUCAUACUGAUGAUUCUUACAAUGCACUUUUAAGUAAGUUAUUGUCGUCAAAAGCAUUUUGAAUUAUUCUCAUUUUUAGUAGUUCAUCUAAAAUUUGUUCCUAAAAUGACAUAUCAUGAUAUGCCUUAGAAUUGGAUCAUAAAAAUAUCUUAAUUAUAAAAUUUGAUAACCGUAUGAAAUUUGAUGAUGUACAUGAAAUUUAUUCUAGUUUACUCAUUAAAUAUUCAUUUCUUGAUUCUUAAAUGAUAUAUUUUCAAUAUGGUUUUUGAAAAUAUUUUAAUAUGAAUUAUGAUAAUUCCAUUCUCCAAUCAUGUUUUUAAAUGGAUCCGAAAUUAGGAUUGAUCUUUGAAAGAUUUUCAAAAGAAACACAUCUUUUUUUUCUUGAACUUUUUAAAGUGUUGAGAAUGUUCUCAUCACAAUGAACAAUUAAAUUUUUGCAUCUAAAAGCCAAAUGAAUUAACACUCGUGUAAGUUUAUUUUUUUGGCAAUGCUUUAAAUGAAUAUUGAUAGCAUUGUUGAUCAAUAUAUUGUUAUGUGAAUGUCUUUCUAUAUCUUUUAUAGAAAAUAUGUUCCUGAUCAUUAAAUAAAUACUCUUAGUCUCUUAAUCAUAAUGCAUGAUAAACCUGAGAUUUAGAACAAGAAAAAUGUUAUAAUAUAAUGUUUUUGAUAAAACAAUAUAUGUCUGCCAUUUGUUUUUCUUACAUAUGUAUUUUCAUAAUUGAUUUGUAAUGACUUAUAUAAAAUCAUAUUCAAUUUCUUUCAUUAUGAAUAUUCUAAUUGAGGUAUAUCGUUGAAAGAAUUUCAACAACAAAAGAUCAUAUUACUGUUUAACAAGAGAAUAAUUUGUGUGACUUGUUUAAAAUUGAUCUAAAAAGGGAUUUACACAUUUCGUUCCUUAGCUAAUAUUAAACAUGUUCUUAUCAUGAAGUUUUGUUGAAUCAUUGUUGAAUGUAUACCUUAUUGCACUUGCAAAAUUUGCAGACAAAAAUAGAGAUAUAAACAUCAAUGACACAUCAAUAUAUAUUUGUGCAUAAAUAUGUUGCAUAAAUACUUUUCUUCUAAAUACUUGUGGAAAACAUGUAAUUGAUUUAUAUUAUAAUGAACAAAUCAUCUUGCAUAGAAUUAUCAUUUAAAGAUGUUUAUCCGAAAAAAUUCAGAAAUACCUUCAUCAUGAAAAUCUUUUGAAGAGAGAAUUUUUUUUUUUUUUUGUCAUUGUGUCAAAUGACUCUUAUUUUAUCGCUUCCACUAAAUGAAUAAUUUUCUCUCUAUUUCAAACAUUGUUGAACAUGACUAAGUAGUCAUAAUUACCAUUAUUCAUGUUUUAUAAUAAACUAAAAUGAAUAUUAAUCAUGAUACAUGCUUGAUUAAGUUUGAUGUGACAAUAUGACUUCUCAAAAACAUGAUUCUUAUGGGCAAUAUCUAUUUUUUUUUUUUUUAAUAUUCAUACCCAAUACUUUUUGAUAGAUUCCAAAAGAGGGAGAUAUAUAUAUAAUGAGAGAGAAACAUAGGAUGAGGAGAAAAAUCCAAGAUGGAUUUAAUCAAUGAAGAAUGUAAAGAAUUAACCUCUUGCAUAUGUUUAUGGGGAGUUUAAUUAGAAUGAUAAGAAUUAAACUCUUGCACGUGUUUAGGGGGAGCUUAAUUUCAUAUCUAUGAACAUUCUUACAUUUCUUAUUAUACACAUCCAUAAAACUUAAGAGUUAUUCAAAAGAGGUUUGUCAUCAUCAAAAAGGGGGAGAUUGUGGAAAUAAAAAUCUUUUUGAUGAAUGUUUUAAUGAUAACAAAUCUUAUGGAAUAAACACGAAGUUUUAUGAAUUGUGAUCUACUGAUGUUUGCACUUGAGUCUUUUCACAGAAGUUGACAAGAAAGAAGUCCCUGACAAGUGCAUAUAUAUACUCAUUGAAAGAAUACCAAAAUAGUAGUAUCACAAGCUCAAAGAAGAUAUAAAAAGAAUAUUGUUUGAAUCAAAUGAGUGUUGAUUGAAGAUUCAACAAGAAGAUGAAUUUUAUGAUCAAUUGACUCAUCCUCGUCACGACAUGGUUUUCAACAAAGCCUUAAAGAUUCGAGGAAUAAAGAGUUAAUAUUUGAAAGGAAUGAUCUUCAAAUAGCUUCUAAAAGAGUUUAAGGAAAAGGCACAAAAGUUUCAUUCAAGAGAAUGAUUCAAUGUACCUUCAUGAUUACAUGCAUGCCUAAACUAAAACAUCUCAAAGAUACUCAAUGGACAAGAUACAUUGUGUGCAAUCACCAAGAGGAAUUAUGUGAUAAAUUGCAUCAUCAACAAAAUAAUUCAAGGUUAAUUAAUCAAGAAGGUAUUAUCAUCUUAUAUAGAAGAGAACAUCAUCAACUCUGAUGAAAGAACGUUCUCAUAAAGAGGAUGCCUCUUACACUCGAGAUUAUUCUCAUCAUUUGAUUAAAAGGAUUAGAAUCAACUUUGAAGAGAAACCAAUUCAUGAAUGAAUUAUUUAUUAAGUCACUCAUUAAUGAUAUUGAUUGGAAAAAUAUCAAAGAAGAAAAUUCAUGAUCAUAUGCUUGAAGAUUCUAUCAUAAAAGAUUUAAGAUGAUCGAAGAAUCUUCCAUCAUUUUUUAAGAUAUGGUUGGGAGAAUAGAAAUCAAUCAAAGGAAUAUUUACUUUGAGAAAGGUUUCUCACGUUCUUACAAAGAACAUUAUGGUUAUACAAAGUGAAGAGAACAUCCCCACUCGAUGUUUUUAAAGAUAACACAUGUGUUAUUCUUCUUUCUCUCUCCCUCCCUCCCUCUAUCUUUUAUUUUUAGACAAUAUGCACACACCAUCACACACAUUAAUAUUUAUUUAUCUUCAGAAUAUUCUGGUCCUAAUUAAUCAAAACCAAAUUAAUUCAGAGUUCUCUGGUCCUUAAAUAACCAUUAAUAUUAUUUUAUCAUUCAGCUUAAUAAUUAAUUAUAAUUGCUUUAUAUUUAUCCAGAGUUCUCUGGUCCUUAAUUAACCAUAAUAUUAUUUUAUCCGUUAGUUUCAAUAAUUAAUCUUAUAAUUGUUAUCCAGAACAUUCUGAUCCUAAUACAACUGCUUAAUAUUUAUAUUCUUCCAGAGUUCUUAGGUCCCAGGUAAUUAUUAAUAUUGUUUUAUUAUUUUAGUCUCUUUAUUAAUUAUAUAAUUAUUAUCUAUAACCAUUGGCGGAGCCAUGUAUAAGUGAGGGGAUGCAGCUGGGCUUUUAAAUUUUGCACAUGAUGGCACUGUUUUCAUGCUACUUGAACCUACUGAUAUUUUAACAUUGCACCACCUGACCCAAAGAUUUUGCACUAAUAAGUAAUAAUCCAAGUUUUCCUCACCUUAUAAAUGACCCAAGUCUCACUUUUAUGUUGGCACAACAAUGUUUGAUUCAACGAGAAAUAAUUAACUUGCUUUUCAAUAUACUCUAUUUGGUUUUUCCUAUUACAUUUGUUUCCUUUGAUUUUGUUAUUUUUGGUAAUAUUUUCUUAUUAAUAAUUGUAAUAAUUGAAUUCCUUUUAAAGUAAUAUAUAUUACUUAAUAUUUUAUAUUCUUUCAUAGCUUAAUACUCCCACCAUCCUAAAUUUUAACAAAAAAAAUUCACUUUCUUUGUCCCAAAUUAUAAAUGAAAAAGACAAAUUUUUAUCCUAUUUAAUUAUGUUGGUUUCAAAAGUCAUCUUUUCCAAACAAAAAAAAAAAAAAACGCUAGGUGUACUCAAUUUACUCUCCCUCCCAUUUUCUCCGUAACCAAUAACCUAUGCAAAUUAUGUUUACUUCUUCCCGUGAAACUUAUCUCAAGAACACAAAAAGUUAUACACCGAAUUAUUAUGCUUUAGAAUUAUAAAUUUAAAAUCUACACAAAUUCUAAUUUUCAUUUGAUAGAUUUUGAAAUUUUUAAUUUGUACAAAAAUAUUGAAAAUAUAAAUAAAAUUAAACAUUUAUGCAAAAAAUUAGAUAUUUGAUUGGAAAAAAUGACGAAAUUUAUAAAUGUAGUAGUAUAAAUAAAUGAUAAUUAAAAGAGAAAAUAAUUGCACAAAAUUUUGCUAUCACUAAUGAAGUUGAAAGCUCGAACCCCCUACUCCAGGGUUCUGGCUCCGCCACUGUCCAGAACAUUCUGGUCCUUAGUAAAACUGCUUAAUUAUUUAAACCUUACUCUAUAUAUCCAGAACAUUAUGGUCCUUGAUAAAACAAUUGUUUAAAUAUCUAAAUAUUUUAUAAUCUUCUUUUAUCUAACAUUUAUCAAGAAUUUUCUUGAGUACAUAAACUUGUUAAGUUUCAGGAUUAAAAUUAAAAAGGGUCACAAUUAAACCCCCCUUUCUUGUGACUAUUUCUUCCACUUCAAUUGACAUCAGAGCGCUGCCUCUAAGGGGUUAGCACUUAACAGUGCUAGAGGAAAAGAUUCGGGAAGAAGUGAUGUUAAAACUUGCAAAUCAAAGUUUAUGCCAUAGAUGGAACAAGUCUAUAUAUGUCAAAAUUGAAUGUCCUCUAAACAAAGAAGAACAAAGAAGAUUCAUUUACAAAAAGAAAUCUACUAUGGAAAUUCUAGUUAACUUUGAUAACUCAAAAAUAGAAGAACAAAUCAACAUGUGUCUAAUGACAAGCAACGAAAAAGAGAUUUGAGCAAAUUCUCCGUAAGUAUGAAUAUUUUAUUUAAGAUUGUAAAGGAAGAAAUUGCAUUUUUAUGAUUUUAGGAUUAAUAUGUCUUUACCCUUUUGUAAUAUAGGUUAUUUCCGGUUUUUCCACCUGUAAAAUAUUUUUUUUUUAUUUACCCCCCUGUAACUUUUGUUUUGUUUUGAUUUACCCCCCUAAUAAGGCCAAACAAAAACGAAAAAUUCUUGAAAAAAUAAAAUUAAAAUAAAAUAAAAUAAAAUAAAAUAAAAACCGAAAAUGACCUAUAUUAUGGGGGUAAAGACUUAUUAACCCAUGAUUUUAUUUAAGGUUAGCUUUGGGUUCAAUGGUUCACUAUCUGCACCCAUUUGCCUUAAGAAAAACGAUAACUUUUUUUUUUGAACGAUUAAGAAAAACAAUAAUUUAUAGCAUCUUCAAUGAAGUAAACUAAAAUGAGUAAACUAUGUUGAUUUUUGUGGGGUCAAAUUGGUACGUAGGAUUUAACCAAUUUAUAGUUGAUCUAAAUAAUUUCUUUUAAGGCAUACAUCCAUUAUUUUUAAUGAUAGCCAUUGGUUAUUAUAAAUAACAAUGAUAUAAUAAAUAACAAAAUGAUGACUGUAGCAGAUAUGAAUGCUUUAGGAUGGGGAGUAAACGGUGAGACGAGGAAGUAGCGAAGGAGGUUGUUUGCUUGAGAGGAGAAGUUGGUGGGGGAUUGUGUUGAGCGAUUAACUUAAGUUGUUUUGCUGGUUGAGGUGUGAGAUCGAUGAGUUUGGAAGUUACAUUCCUCCCAAUAUUAUACGGCCGACAAUGCUUAUAACAACUUGACUGAAGUGGAAGACAAUACCUAUAUGGAUAACAUCCAUUAUUUACAUAUCCAUUCCUCAAAUUGAUAUGGCUCACGUGUGUCCGGGUCAUUUGGAAGGAAAUGAAUAACAUAUUUUUUAGGCUUACGUAGCAGUUUUCACCCCCAUAACUUUCACGAAGUUGCGAUUUUCGCCCCCUAAGAAAAAACUACAAAACCGUCCCCUAAGUUUUGCAACUGUAGCAGUUUUGGUCCCCAAGGCCAAUUUUUGGUAAAAAAAAAAAAAGUAACACGUGGCACGUCAGCGUAGAAUGAGUCAAAAUUGGCCUUGGGGGCCAAAACUGCCACAUAUGAAAAACUUAGGGGGCGGUUUUGUAGUUUUUUUUCUUAGGGGGGCCAAAAUUGCAACUUUGAGAAAGUUAGGAGGUUAAAACUGCUAUUAAGCCUAAUUUUUAAUCAGAAAGGUAUUGGCUCCAAAACAAAUAACAAAACAAGGUAAAAAUGUUAUCUUUCUAGUGGUUGAAGGCGGAUCUCAUUACUUUCGCAUUUAACUAUCAUGACUGGUGGAGACAUUUAUUUUCUUGUCUGGGUCUAUUGUAAUUGCUAUAUGUUUUUUCCUUGAUUUUUCGCGCAACUCUUUUAUGAGAUAUUUGUAAAUGUCUUGUAAAAACUUUUGGAUGAUUCUUCUUUUGCACGUCUUGUGCGUGAUGAAUCUCUGAUUGAUAUAAUAUAUUGCAUUUUGGGUUGUUAAAAAAAAAAUUAAAUAACAAUGAUAUAAAAUAAGCACACCUGACUAGUGUAGCAUAUGAUAACAAGUUUUUUUUUUGAAAAAAUCAAAAUGGAAUAUAUUACUCAAAAACAGAGUGAUUCACCCCGCACAAGGUGUGCUAAAAUGAUGAAUCCUCUAAUACCUGUUACAACACCACAACACCUAAAGAAAAAAGAUGCCACCACCUAAACAAAAAGGUCCAAACACUUAAAUCACACCCAUACAAAAAAGGGGAUGUCUCCACCAAUCGUAAAAGCCAAAAGCAAUAGGCUCAAUAUUCGAAGAAAGCCAGAGAAAAGAAUUUAACUUAACUUUUUCGACAAUAUGUAACGGAUCAAUAACCGUAUUAUUGAAAACACGGCUGUUUCGCUCCUUCCAUAUUGCCCAAACACAAGCAAGCCAAGUAACCUUAAAAAACACAUGAGUAGAUCUAGGCAAACCCGCCAAAUGAGUAAACUGAAUGUAAUGAUCCUUAAUAGAACCUGGAGGAACAAAAGAAAACCAAGCCAGUGACAAAGUAAAACCCAGACAAUUCCAAAAUAUUCACCUCCAAUGAAGAGAUGACCCAUCGUUUCGGAUAGACCACACCCUCCAACACAUAAAUUGUCGUUUGGUUGAAGAAUGAGACGACGCACCAAGUUUGCUCUUGUAGGAAUUCUGUCUUGAAACAACCGCCAAGCAAAAAACGACACUUUUGUCGGAACCAAUUUGUGCCACACGUCAAGAAAAGCAUCAUUAGCCACCUGUUCUUCAGAAUUUGUGAGAAAACGAUAAGUCCCACCAACACUAUAACCAUGAACAGGAUCUAGUAACCACCGCCAACGGUCCUGAAUAUGAACCUGCAAAACAACGUUAUCCAGUAAAGUGAUACACUCCCUCAUACUCUCCUCCUCCCAAGCUAACAACCGCCGUCUCCAAACCCACCCAUUUCCGCCCUCAACCCACCCCCAACGCUCCAUGUCUGCCACCGAACAUUCCUUAUGCACCGCUAAAUCAUAAAGACGACUAAAUUGAAUCUUUAAAGGUACUCCGCCUAGCCAUUUAUCAAUCCAAAAGAAAGUACUACUACCAUUUCCAACCUCCCUCAUAACAUUAACAUCAAACCAGUUACCUACUCCCGAGCCUACUCCUUCCCUCACCUUGCACAACAUACUCCACCAACCGGACACAUCUCUCCCUCCUUCCUGAAUUCUACCACCAACCUCCCCAUACUGUGCCUUUAAGACACGAUACCACAAGCCUUCUUUGUCAAUCAACAACCUCCAACACCAUUUCCCUAACAAAGAUAAAUUAAAUUCACCUAACCUCCGCACCCCCAAACCACCGCGAUUCACAGGUAAACAAAUAGAAUCCCAUUUAAUCCAAGCAAUUUUUUUAGAGACCUCACAACCCCCGCAAAAAAAAAUUUAAAAAUAGAUUCAAUAGAAGAAAUUAUACCUGCAAGUGCCUUGAAAUAGGAAAGAAAGUAAACCGGAAGAGAGGACAGGGCAGAUUUCAGAAGAACUAAGCGACCACCAAGCGAUAGAAAUUUAUUAUUCCACGACGACAAUCUAGCAACAAUUCGGUCCACCACCGGUUGCCAGAAACCGAGUCUUCUACUAUCUCCGCCUAUAGGUAAUCCUAAGUACAAAAACGGAAUUGUACCAGUUUUACAGUUCAACACCGAAGCCGCUUCCGUCAACCAAUUAUGAGAAAUGUUAACACUUGUCAACACGCUUUUAUUAAAAUUUACCUUCAACCCGAACACCUCUUCAAGUAAUAAUAAUACCGCCCGAAUGGUACGAACAUUCAACCAACAUUUUUCUCCAAUAAUGAUAGUGUCAUCAGCAAACUGUAGGUGAAAAAUUUUAAUUUCACUUUGAGGUCCGACACCAUAAGCAUUAAAUAAAUUUGACGACACUGAAGCCUUCAUCAAAACAUCAAAACCUUCGGCUGCUAGUAGAAAUAAAAAAGGCGAUAAAGGGUCCCCCUGUCUAAGCCCCCUCUGAAUAGGAAACUCAUCUCUCGGGCACCCAUUGACAAGGGCCGAAGCAGUAGCUGUUCCAACACAUUCCAUUAUCCACUUCCGCCAAAGAGUCGGAAAAUUCAUAUUAAGCAUCACAAAAUUCAGAUAAUUAAGAUCAACCGAGUCAUAAGCCUUUUCGAAAUCAACUUUGAACAAUAAUAAAUUUUUCUUCAAACGCUUUGCUUCAUCGACUACCUCAUUUGCAAUAAGAAUGCCAUCAAGAAUUUGUUUGCCUCUCACAAAAGCGGAUUGAUUAUCAGACACCACAUAACUCAAAAUAGACCGUAGUCGAUUUGCAAGAACCUUUGCCAACACUUUAUACAUACAACCAACAAGAGAAAUAGGUCGAAAAUCACCAAGCUUCUGUGGACUAGCCACCUUCGGAAUUAGAGCAAUAAAAGUGGAGUUAACACCCUUCGUCAACUUCCCAUUACGAUGAAAAUCGAGAAGAAAUUUCAUAAAAUCAUCUUUCAACUCAUUCCAAAAAUCUUUAAUAAAACCAAGAUUAAUACCAUCCGGCCCGGGACUUUUGAAGCUCUCACAAUCCCACACCGCCUGUUUAACUUCAUCAAGAGAAAAAGGACGAAUUAAACUACCUGAUUGAGCAUAAGACAACUUCCGAAAAUUUAAACCUUGAAUUCCAGGUCGAGUACCCUCUAAAGCGCGGAAAUGAGUGGAAAAAUGAUUAAGGGCAGCCGCACGAAUGUUCUGAACCCCUUCGACAAGAACUCCAUCAACAUGAAUCAAGUGAAGAUAAUUUCGACGCUGUCUAUUGGACAUCAUAUUAUGAAAGAAUUUAGAAUUUGCAUUACCUUCUCUAACCCAAUUCAUCCUCGCCUUCUGCCAAUUCAUACUAGUAUGCACACGAGACAAAGAAUGCAAUUUGACAGACAACUCACGAAUUUCCUGAGUUUCUUCUUCCAAUAAGUUAAUAGCAUCUUUGAUUUUAUUUGUCAAGAAAGUCGAGUAGAAAUGGAAGCUUCUUUGAAAAUGAUGUUGAAGAUGGUGGUAAUGUUUUUUGCUCUUGGUAAUUUUCAAAUUUGUAUAAUAAUUGUACUAGUAUUCAUUGACGAGUAUUAAUUUAAAAAUAUUCCAAGAACCAGGUGUUAUAUUGAAAAACCUCAAUGUUUAACUAAACGCUGUGAAACAAAAUUAUUAUUGGAAGGGUUAAUUAAGUUUUUGGUCCCUAUAAAUAUCUGCAGUUUUGUUUUUAGUCCAUUUAAAAAUAAAUCACACUUUUUAGUCCCUACAAAAUUUUCCAUUAAUGUUUUUAGUCCCUGUUAAAUUAAAAUUUGUUUAAUUAUGCUUAAAAUUUUAAAUUUUUUAAUGAUUUUUUACAUACUUGUUUAAAAUAUUAUAAAAAGUUCCGCAAAAAUAAAUUAGCUCAAAAUUUUAUUUUUAGGUCUAAAUUUUCGUUAGUUUUAUCUUGAAUUUUUGGCGUUUUAAAAAAAUUAUAUUUAAUUCAUUACAUGUUAAAAAAUUCUAUUUUUUUUAUAAAAGAGAUUAUUAUAAUGUUCUUAACAUGUAUGGAAAAAAUAUUUCAAAAAUUUAGAAAUUUAAGCAUAAUUAAACAAAUUUUAAUUUAACAGGGACUAAAAACACUAACAGAAAAUUUUGUAGGGACUACAAAGUGUGAUUUAUUUUUAUAAGGACUAAAAACAAAACUGCAGAUAUUUAUGGGGACCAAAAACUUAAUUAACCCUUAUAGGAAUAAUAAAUACUCAUAGAAUAAUAAUGAAAGACAAGAUGUUUUAAGAGAUUAUUAGUUUUUAGUUAGAUUAUGAUGCCUUAUCAAAUGAAACAUUUCAAUUGGCAAGACAACAAAAUCUAGCUCAUAACAACCUUUGAAUGUCUGAUGAGAAAUGAACCUUACAAUGCCAUCCAAACCUAGCUUAGUGAACACUCAUCACAAACAAAGCCUCAAAGACUCAAAGUUGUAUUGUAUUGGUCAAAAACAAUAACAACCCUUUAGUCAUUAAUAUAGAUGAAAAUGGAGAAAUCAUGUUUGGUGCUAUUCAUAUAAAGCCACUCCCAAAACACAAUAUGUUCUAUUUACCCUUCUUCAUAAGAUGAAAAGAGGUAGUUUACCUUUUAUAAAAGUUAUAUAAACCUCCUCACUAAGUCUUACCUCAAAUAUGUGUUUGGGUGAACCCACUUGGGUUGAUCCGUUGGUGUUUAGUUGAAACUUCGAAGGUACUUUACGUUUUUUAAAAUUUUGCAAAUCGGUCCUCAUAUUUUGAAAAUUUUCAAAUUAGUACCUAUAAAUUUUGAUUUUUUUUUAAUCAGUCUUAUAAAUUAAACAGAGCUGGAUGAAGUAGCUAAAAAAGGAAGAUAAAGAAUUCAAACAACCCAAUCUUUGAGAGGACAAAACCAAUGAAAAACAUGGCGAUGGAAUGAAAGAAAGUAAUUCCAAUGCUAUCCAUAGUAUCAUCUUUUUUCUUAUCACUAGCUUUUUCUUUUUUAGAAUAACUUACAUUAUUAUUUGAAUAUGAUAUCUAAUAGGGUGUGUGAAAAAAUCCUAAAACUUGUGAAAGAAAGUACAUCAAAGUUUAGAUAGAUUGUGUUCUACUUUAUAACCGAAGAGCACUAUAGUUGAACAGGAAAUAGUUUAGACCCAUUACUACAGUUUUCCUUAGCAAAAUAAUAUAACUAGUUGCAUUGGAUACUACCAUUCCAGUACAUAACACAAAAAAUCCCCAUGGCCAUAAUCCGUGAGUAAUAUCUAUAACAACAUAAUAGUAUUCGGCCUCUGCACUAGAUCGAGAUAGAGUGUGUUGUCGUUUUACAAUCAUGACUAAUCAAAUUAGAAUGAUUGAUAUCCUCAAUAUCGAGAUAUGCACAUAAUAGUCUAAUACUACCUUCUCAUGUAUGCUGUUUCUCAACCACUUGAGAUAGCCACUGCUCUCUUCUUCUUGCUGUAUUUAGCUUGUUACUCAAUUGUAUUUUGCAUUUCUGAUUUCGAAGCACAAGCCCUAAAUGUUUUGCAUGCUUGAUUCCUAAUUUUCAUUUUCCAACUGUCAUGUCUGAUUGUGAUUUCAUUUAUCAAGUUAAACCAAAGGUUAAACACACUAUAAUUAGGGCUUACUUCUAGAGUGAUUAUCUACUACACACUAUAAUUGAUAACCUACUAUCAAUUUAUUUCCAGGGUGAUUAUAAACAGACAAUAAUUAGGGCUUACUUCUAGAGUGAUAAUCUACUGCACUGCACAACGAAUUGAAUAUAACGCAAGUUAUUCUUACUUAUUACCAUUUUGCAGAUGAUGGUGGUAAAAUGGAUAGCUUGACUAAUGCAGGUGUACAAUUAACCGUGACGACUGUUUUGGCCUGUGGUUUUGUUUGUAUUUUUAGAGUUUGGUUUUUAUACAAGUUUAAUUCAGAACUGGUACACAUGAAGGAGAGAAACUGUUAAUAUAAAAACAACAAUCAAAACUGAUGAAGCAUUGAAUCAGACACAAAUACCUAACACGACAUAAUCAUAUCGAUACCUAUAUUAUAAAAAUAUAGGACAACAACAUUCGUGUGUGUGUGUCUAUAUAUAUAUAUAUAUAUAUUCAUUUUAUGAGUGGAAACUAUUAUUUAUAAAAAGAGACGGAGGAAGUAAUAAUCAAGCAUGAAUAACCAAAGCUAUUAACAAGAGAAUUCAGACUAAAUUCCCUCAACAUACCAGCAGCAAACAUGAACCUAAUUCAUAACUAUGGCUUUAUUAAAAGGUUUCAAAACACUAUUAAGAAAACUGAAAUUAAUCCAUCUAAUAAAAAAAAACAAAAAAAAAAAAACUGAAAUCAAUCCAAUCUAAAUUAAUGUAUGACACCAUUCUCCUCAUUCAACUCUAGUCUAGAGCCAAUUCUUGUUUAUCUUUCCCUGCCACCAGUUGAGCUUUCUCACCCUUUUUCUUUGCUUCCUCCUCUUCCUUUUCCUUUGCAAUUUCAAGAUAUUGAAUCAAAUUCUUCAAGCAAGCCUCAACAUCUUCGGUGGUCGACUUUGGCAUCAAAUUCUCGGCAACAUCAGCUGGUGACAUAUUAGUCUCUCCCAACAACUUUUCAAUAAUUGGAAACAAAUCACCAUGAGACUCAACAUCCAAGUAGUUCUUAGCAAGAACCUUGAACGCUUGAUAGCUACAAUAGGACAUUUCUAUGUGUUUAUCCAUCCUUCCCCUCCUAAUUAGAGCAGGAUCAAGUUUGUCCACAAAAUUAGUUGUGAAAAUUAUGAUCCGUUCUCCUCCACAUGAUGACCAAAUUCCAUCAAUAGAAUUCAACAAACCCGAAAGAGUUACCUUGCUUUUCCUUUUCUCUUCUUCUUCAUCAUCAUCGUCGUCAUCAUCAUCUUCUUCUUCUUCUUCUUCACUUUUCUUAUCAGUUUUAUCUUUUUUCUCAUUCUUAUCAUUACGAUCUUUCUCCUUUUUCUUCUUCCUCUGACCGGUAAGCUCGAGAGAACAAUCAAUAUCUUCAAUAACGAUAACUGAUUUGCUCGACGUCUCAAUCAAAAGUCUUUUUAACUCAUUGUUAUCCUUGACAGUUGUUAAUUCAAGAUCAUACACGUCGUAGUUCAUGAAAUUUGCAAUAGCAGAUAUCAUGGUAGAUUUCCCAGUUCCUGGUGGACCAUAGAGUAGAUAACCCCGUUUCCAAGCCUUUCCAACUUUAGCAUAAUACUCUUUCCCUUUCUUGAAUUUAACAAGAUCGUUUAUGAUCUCUUCUUUCUUCUCCGGUUCCAUAGCAAGUGUUUCAAACCUUGCAGGGUGUGCAAAAUUUGUGUGACUCCACCCUGACAUCCACCAACAACCGCUAUUGUUGGUGUAAAGCUUUAGUCGCCUAUUCUUAAAUAUAAUAGCCUUUCCUUGUUCCAACACAUGUUGUAUGUAAGAGGAAGUAAUGAGAUCGCGAUGCCUUUUGUGGAAAGUUAGGGUUAAGUAUCUUACCACAUCGAAAUUAGGUCUUCCUGAAGAUGCUUUUCUUGUUGGAGCUUUGCUGUUUGAAGACCACCAAACUUUGACUCCAUUGAACUCAUCCUCAAUCUCUUCUUUGUCGUCCAUGCUAAGGACAAGCGGUGAUUGGCUAUCUUCCACAACUUCGGCUUUAAGUCUCUUGGCUCUUUGACUCGAGUUAGCACCAAGAUAUGUUUGGAUAAUUGUGUAAGUUUCGCUUUGUUUGAGACGCUCGCCCGAUGAUUCAUAAAAAGUUAUUUCGACGUAAGGGGACAUAAGGUCUGUAAAUUUGUUCAUGUGCUUUUCAACAAACUUAUGAAGAUCAGAUGGGCAGAAUUGCUCAUACAUGGCAUAAACAAAAACAUUAGGCUAGCCGCAAUUGAGCCUAAUUGUGACAAUAUUGACUCAGUCCAUAAUGAAAUCUGAGAUGAGAUCACUAGAGAAAACUAAUGAAGAAACAAGUUGAUAAAAUUCUUGCUAGUUAAGAUCCCCUUAUGGAAAAAACUAUUGCAAGAUUUGUUAACUCAUUGUGAUAGUAACACGACUAUUGUGAAAUCGAGAAUCGUUACUACAAUGGUAAGAGACGAUAAUUAAGGCACGAACAAAGAACAAUUAUAGCGCUAGCUACUCUUCAAUGGAGCGGUUAAAAUAGAUUUUGUACGUACUGAUGAUAAAUCAGCAAUUCCUUUGUCGAAAUGAUUAGCUAGAAAGAAUGUCUAAAACACAUCCAAUAGGAUGAAACUAAUGCCUAAAGAUAACACGAGUGAUGGUAAUUACCCAGCCUAUAUGACUGGAGAUCACAAAAAGAUAGGUUCAAUGGGUAAUAACAAGUCAUGUUGUGAUAGAACAUGCUAUGACAAAAUCUAGAAAAGUCUUAUUCCUGUAGCCAAAUGAGGAUGAGAUAAGAGAAACUCUAAAUGAUAUUAUUACCAUAUGUGGAUAGUAGUACAAAGCUACAAGAGUACUAAUGAACUCACCUAUACGAAUGUGGAAUAGAGGCCGGUUACUAUGGAAUUUUGAGGCAGAAUACCUAGAACGUUCGUCAAAUUGGGAUAAAUGUGCAGGGCCAUAAACACACGAGAAAUAAUAUUUGUACAACUAUCUUGUGACAACUAUUUCUCUCAUACUCAAAUGGUGUUCUUUUUCUCUCUCUUCCUUUCUCUCUCUCUCUCUCUCUCUCUCUCUCUCUCUCUCUAUUAUUUUUGACCAAUAAGAAAAGAGAGAAACAAAAUUGUCACCAAAGUUGUCAUUAAAUGGAUGUCCAAAUAUCAUUGCGUGCUGGUUCUGUGUCUAAGAUUGAGUUUAAUGCCACAAGCAACUCUAGUUAAUUGAAAUUUUACUCGUUAUGCAGAGGUUCAAGUUGUAGGCGACACCUUUGUUUAUUAGCAAUCUUAUAAAAACUUCUUUGACGUUAUUUCUGAAACUAUUUUAAAAUCCAAGUGGGGAUUGUUGGAACAUGUGUAAAAAUUGAGUUAAAAAACUAGACACAAAUUCUCACAUUUGGUAGAAUUAGUGUUGUGUGAAUUAAAAAAAAGUGGAAGUCCUACAUCGGAUGGUGCACACAUAAUAGUAGUAUAUAGUAGGGGUGUACCUCUAAAGGGGUACAUAAUUAUGUGAACAAAGUAAGCACUAGCGAAAUUUUUUUGAUAUAUAUUUUAUUAUUUGAAAAUGUUAACUUAAAUAAUUAAUUUAAUCAUUAUUAGAAAGUGUUUUCUUAGUCCUCAAGUUUUGCUAAAAUAUUUUAGAACGCAAUCUGAAAUAUUUUCGUAUUCAAUAUAAUAUAUUUUGGUAUUUAUAUGAAAUAUAUUUUUGUACUCAAUAGUAUAUUUUUGUACUCAAUUUGCAAUAUUUUUAUACUAGAUCUAAUAUGUGAAUUACUUGUUCCCAAAGUUGCACACAUACUAUUUGUGAAUUUUCUCUAUAAAUAGAGAGCUCACAUAGUUCAUUCCAUACACCGAAAAAUAUCUGAAACAUCGAAUCUUUUUCUUCGCUCUUCCACUUUGACUUGUGUUAACGAGUCUUUCUUCUCUUCAUCUAGUCCUUUUUCGGGGUAUAAUAUCCCUUGGAAUUAAGAACGGUUUUAUGAGCAUAGUCCCUCAAUAAUCUUUGUCCUUUCGGAAUAAAGAAUAUUUUUAAGAUCAUAAUCCCUUUUCUGGAAUAAUGUCCUUUUCAGAAUUAAGAAUGAUCUUAAAAUAAAAGUAUAUAUAAUCCAUUUUAUAUUUCCUUCCCUUGGAUAAAGUUAUAUGUUAGAAUGGUGAUAACACCAUAUUUGAGUGGUUGAAAUUUCAUAUUGAUAUUUGGAGAUGUUAAAAGUUAGAAUGGUGGUAACAUCAUAUUUGAGUGGUCACAAUACCAUAGUAGAGUGGUCAUAGUACCAUAAUUGAUUGGUUUCAGUACUAAAAUAUGAGUGGCCUUAGUAUCAUAUUGGAGGUGUAAUUUUCGAACGUUUUUUUUACAACAUAGUAGUUAAUCGUGCUGUUGUAGUUUAACUUGUUUUUAUAUAGUCUCCUUUGCAUUACUUUGGACAGUACCAUGGAAUGUCUUAAAGAGAGCGACAUGAUAGUGACUCAACCUAGUAACAACUUCAGUAGAUUUAUUUUUGGCAAAAUUACAAUUUUAGUCCCUUAACUUAAUUUCAGGUAACAGUUUGGUCCUUUAUCUGUUUUUUCAUUUCAAUUUAGUCCUUUUUGUCCAUUUUUAAUACAUUUUCAAGCUUCAAAUCUAAUAUUAUUAUCCAAACAUAAACGAGGAUCAUAGAUUUGAAGACUGAAAGACCAUAAGAAAAUUAAAUCAUGAAUUUUAAGCUUAAAAAUUCAUAUGAAAAUGGACAAAAAGGACCAAAUUGAAAUGAAAAAAUAUAUAGGACCAAACGGUUACCUGAAAUUAAGUUUAAGUGACUAAAAGUGUAACUUUGCUUUUAUUUUUUAAAAAUAGAAUUUAAAAAUUCAAAUAGAACGGUGUUCCGUUAAAUGUUAUUAAAUGUUAUUCUACAUCAUUAUAUAUGAUGUGUAAUAGUAAAAAAUAAGCUCUAAAUUGGGUUGUGUAAAAAAAAUAAGCCUUAAAAUAUUGUUUCAAUUAAAAUAUGAUGAAUACAAGUGUAUUUGAUAGGAUGCCCAAUCAGGUGCUAUAUCUAGAUGAAAUAAAAAGUACAUCAAAGUUUAGAUAACACUGAGCUCUAAAAGCAAUUAAAUGCAUGCAUGCAAGUAGAAUAGAAGCCAUCACCACAUUCUUCCUUAGCUAAGAAGCCCUCAUGAAAAUGCAUACAUCUUAUUUUAUUACAUACUAUAGAUCUCAAUGCUCCACCCAAUUAACACAAAGAAACAACACAAGAAUAGAACCAUCCAUCAAAUGCCAAUUUUUUUUUUUUUUUUGGCACUUUAAAAAAAACCCCAUAUGUCUUGUUUUGAUUUCACACGAAGAAGAGAUACUAUUAAUACAAAGACAACAUUCAAACAAUGAAGCAUUGAAUCCGACACAAACACCAAACACGACAUAAUCAUGUCGCUACCUAUAAUAUAAAAAAUAUAAGACAACGAGGCAUUCAUAUAUAUAUAAUUAAUUUUGUGUGUGGAACUUGGUAAGAGACGGAGGAGGUAUUAAUCAAGCAUGAACAACCAAAGCUAUUAACAACACAAUUCAGACAAAAUUCCCUCAACAUGCCCAAAGGCCAAACCUAAACAUUAUCUUUAAAUGUGUCAAUUCAAAAGCAGCACACAUGAACAUAGUUCAUAACUACAGUUUUAUUAAUUAAAAUGUUUCAAAACAUUACUAAGAAAACUGAAAUUAAUCCAACUAAAAAAAAACUGAAAUCAAUCCAAUCUAAAUUAAUGUAUGACAGCAUUCUCCCCAAUCAAAUUUUUAUUAAAAGGGUCUUAUUAACUAAUGUUCACGGGGAAUUCUUUAAGGAUUUCAAAUUUAGCAAUUAUUUUUUCAAAAAUAACUAUUACAAUUUACAAUGCAUUAAAUACACAAUUUUUCAUCAAAAAACUUACCAUUUAAAAUGUUUAAAGAGUGUCUCGGGGGCACUAGUUAACAUUUAAAAUGUUUGGAAAAUGUUAAGUAGUGCCCCCGGGGCACUGAUUAAGGAAUUAUAAAAGAAAAUGUUUUUUUUUUUUUUUUUUUUCCGAAAAUUAUGUAUUUUACUUUUUGAAACUUGAAAAAAUGUUGAUUUUAAUGUUGACUUUGCUUUUUCUUUCUAACUUUGGCUACUUAACUAAUACCCGGAGGCACCGGUUAACAUGACCCAAAAAAAUUCCUCAUAUUUUUCACUUGCCUCCUCCACCUAUUCAUCCUACAGUCUUGAGCCAAUUCUUGUUUAUCUUUCCCUGCCACCAGUUGAGCUUUCUCACCCUUUUUCUUUGCUUCCUCCUCUUCCUUUUCCUUUGCAAUUUCAAGAUAUUGAAUCAAAUUCUUCAAGCAAGCCUCAACAUCUUCGGUGGUCGACUUUGGCAUCAAAUUCUCGGCAACAUCAGCUGGUGACAUAUUAGUCUCUCCCAACAACUUUUCAAUAAUUGGAAACAAAUCACCAUGAGACUCAACAUCCAAGUAGUUCUUAGCAAGAACCUUGAAUGCUUGAUAUCUACAAUAGGACAUUUCUAUGUGUUUAUCCAUCCUUCCCCUCCUAAUUAGAGCAGGAUCAAGUUUGUCCACAAAAUUAGUUGUGAAAAUUAUGAUCCGUUCUCCUCCACAUGAUGACCAAAUUCCAUCAAUAGAAUUCAACAAACCCGAAAGAGUUACAUUGCUUUUCCUUUUCUCUUCUUCUUCUUCAUCAUCGUCGUCGUCAUCUUCAUCUUCUUCUUCACUUUUCUUAUCAGUUUUCUCUUUAUUCUCAUUUUUAUCAUUACGAUCUUUCUCCUUUUUCUUCUUCCUUUGACCGGUAAGCUCAAGAGAACAAUCAAUAUCUUCAAUAACGAUAACUGAUUUGCUCGACGUCUCAAUCAAAAGUGUUUUCAACUCAUUGUUAUCCUUGACAGUUGUUAAUUCAAGAUCAUAUACAUCGUAGUUCAUGAAAUUUGCAAUAGCAGAUAUCAUGGUAGAUUUCCCAGUUCCUGGUGGACCAUAGAGUAGAUAACCGCGUUUCCAAGCCUUUCCAACUUUAGCAUAAUACUCUUUCCCUUUCUUGAAUUUAACAAGAUCGUUUAUGAUCUCUUCUUUCUUCUCCGGUUCCAUAGCAAGUGUUUCAAACCUUGCAGGGUGCGCAAAAUUUGUGUGACUCCACCCCGACAUCCACCAACAACCGCUAUUGUUGGUGUAAAGCUUUAGUCGCCUAUUCUUAAAUAUAACAGCCUUUCCUUGGUCCAACACAUGUUGUAUGUAAGAGGAAGUAAUGAGAUCGCGAUGCCUUUUGUGGAAAGUUAGGGUUAAGUAUCUUACCACAUCGAAAUUAGGUCUUCCUGAAGAUGCUUUUCUUGUUGGAGCUUUGCUGUUUGAAGACCACCAAACUUUGACUCCAUUGAACUCAUCCUCAAUCUCUUCUUUGUCGUCCAUGCUAAGGACAAGCGGUGAUUGGCUAUCUUCCACAACUUCGGCUUUAAGUCUCUUGGCUCUUUGACUCGAGUUAGCACCAAGAUAUGUUUGGAUAAUUGUGUAAGUUUCGCUUUGUUUGAGACGCUCGUCCGAUGAUUCAUAAAAAGUUAUUUGGACGUUAAGGGGACAUAAGGUCUGUAAAUUUGUUCAUGUGCUUUUCAACAAACUUAUGAAGAUCAGAUGGGCAGAAUUGCUCAUACAUGGCAUAAAGAAACAUUAGGCUAGCGGCAAUUGAGCCUAAUUGUGACAAUAUUUCCCCAAUUCCCAUUGCCAUCUCUAAUACUUAGAAACUAUUGUGCCUAUUCUUAUGUUUUUUUUUGUGGGUGUUGGUUUAACCUAUAUGGUAUGAUUUUAUAAGGAGUAGUGAUUUAGGUUUUGUAUCUUGGCGACCAAGUUAUCUAGGAGACAUACGAUUUGUUGAUUUUGUGGGCGUGUUGAAAUUGGAAACUAGCAGCCAGAUUAAAAAGAAAAUAUAAAAACGAAAAAAAUAUAUUUUAUUUGUAUACUCAAUUAGGCAAAUAUAUCUAUUUAACUCCACCAAAAAUAAAAUAAAAAAUUUAAUUAAUAUAAUUUAAUGGUGUACAAUUAUUUUAUACUGUGAGAGAGUAUAUAUUAAUUAAACAAUAAAAUAAAAACUGUUUAAUUAAUUUGUAUCUCCAAUUUGUACAAUUAUUUUAGAUUGAGAGAGCAUAUUAAUUGUUUUUUGAGUAAAGGACAUCAAUUUAUUAAUUCAGAAGAGUAGUGAAAUUAUAAAUAAAAAUUGUCUCUGAAGCAUUACAUGCUAUUGAAAGAGUCAUGAGGUGCCUUAAAAAGACUAUGACUAUAUGCUUAUAUUAUGAAAUGUAUCCUAUUGUACUUGAAUGGUACAAUUAUACAAGAUGGAACAUUGAUAAUGUCUCUAUAGUUAGUAUUUUUAGAGUCACUUUUAAGUAGUUUUAAGUUAAAUUGAAUCAAUUCAAAGUGUGUUUUGGAGUCAAACUGAGAUAAAAAGGAUUUUAAAAAUAUUUAGUUGUGUUAAUUAUUUUUGUUAUUAAUUUUCACUAACUGGAUGAAUUCUUGGAGUUUUUGUUCUCUUAAUUUUUAGGUAAUAAAUUGAGCUGUUGGAGUGAAAAAAAAAAACCAACGAUCAUGUUCAACGCAUAAGCCAAAGAAGGGCUGAACUUGUUUCCAUAAGAAAAGUGCAGAACAAAUUUCAAUCAUGCUUAAUUCUAAUCUUAAAUUCACUAAGGAAUUAGGGAUUAUUUUAGGAUUAAUGAUUUUGUCACUAAGGAAUUAGGGCAAGAAUAAAUUAGAGAAUUCGGUAGUGAUACGAUAAGUCUAUUCAAUGGUCAUAUUCAAGUUGUUAACUCAAGAUAGUCAUCUGGUGAAACUCAUCCCUGACAAUCUUAUUAUUAUAGUUCAAUCCAAUUUUACUUUACUUAAUUUUCAUUAUUACAAUCACACAAAUUCAGUACCUUUUUGUUCAAUUAAGUCACAAAUAUUAUUCGACAGUAUAACGCGAUCCUCGAGUUCGACACUUGGUCUUACCGUUUUAAUUUUACUACUUGCACGAUUUCGUACACUUGCGAAAAUCGCUAUCAAAUUUUUGGCGCCGCUGCCGGGGAUUGCCAUAUCAUUGUUGAAUUUUAUUUUUGCUUAAUUUUAUUUUUUGCUCUGCAAUAAAAUUUUUGUUUUUAUUUUAUUUUUAUUUGUUUAGUUUUCUAAUGUCGAGUUCUAGUGAUUUUUUUCUUCUUUGUUGAGAUAAUUAACCACCACAUAGUAUGGAAGAAUUCGACGAUUAUCUUCUUUUACAACUUUUGGAUGAAACUGAGACUUGUCUUCUUUCUGCACAAUGUCGUAUACUUGAGGGGCAGAUCAUGAGAGAUGCAUUUGAAAAAGAUCUCCUUCAGGUUCUACCUCAUAGAUUUGAUUUUUGUAGCGAAGGACAUAUAAGUGACACUUUUGAUUAUUAUGUCCUACCAUCAAAAGGUGAAGAAUUAUUGGUCUUGGAAGCAGAAGAAGAUGAGUUUUUCAUGAAAAAGAUUAAUUUUAAGCAAAUGCUACCUACUCAAAUACUUCACAAAGAUUCAUAUGACAAGAUCUUUCGUUCCAAGGACGUUUUGAUUGAAUUCAUGAAUAAUAAUGAAGGUUCAAUCGAAAUAUUUGAGAGUCAAUGUGAAAGGUUAUUUGAGCGAGUGGUUGAGUUUGAGAAGUUUAAGAUUGGAGAUAAGUUCAGUGUUGUGGGAAAGAAAGAAGAUGAGGGAGAAUCAAUAAACAUUAAGGAUGGUAUAGUUGGUAAGGAUACUCAAAAGUCCCAACUUUGGGGGGAUUUAGAUGCCCAACCAAAUAUUCAUCAACAAAACAUUUCUCCAAUUUAUUUUAGCGACAAGGCAGGGGAAAAGGAAGAGAUUGAUGAUGUAACGCCCACUUUCGUUUAAUCGUUUAUUUAAUCGAGUUUAGGUGAUUAUAUUAUAAUUAUAUAAUAUAUGCAUGAUUUUGGUAUGUUUUGAUGAUUUAUGAUGUUUUGAUCGAUGACGUGAUGAGUUAUGAGUUUUGGAGGAUUUGAUAAGGAUAUGAGAAUUAUUUUAUUGUUAAAUAAAAUAAAGAUUUAAAAAUAAUAUAAAAUAUUUAGUUGAGUGCUGUUUUGAUAUUUUAGAUAGUUUUGGGGGAGAAAGUGAGAUAAGAUAAGUAAUUAAGAAGAGGUAUAUAAAGGUUAGACCUAGUUUUAGAAAAACAUUGUACGAACGACUGUUUUGGAGAAAAAAGAGAAAAGCUUAGAGAGGACCAAGAGACCAAGAGUGCUGCGAUUUUCUUCAAACAAGGUAAGGGUGAGACUAAUAAUUCAAUAACGUUGAUCGUUGUAAUUCUGAUGAUUAAUUGACAAAGUAAGGAUUGAUUUAGAAAAGUUUUGGAAUUAGGUCAAAACCUUAAAAAUUGAUGAUCAAACGGUAAAACUUGUUUAGAUUGAUGUAGAAACCGUCCUUUAACCUUAGAACAUGUUUAAGAUGGAUUAUGAAAUCAAAAUUAGGCUUUGAACCAUGUUGUGUGUUGGAUUUUUGAGAAAAACCCUAGUCUGCCCGUGCUUCUGUUCAUCGCUCGCCACGGCGAGUGAUGAGCCUCGCCUCGCGAGUGAUGAACUUCAUCGCUCGCCACGCGAGCCCUUCCCUUCGCCUCGCGAGUUGUUUAGUUCAACUCGCCAUGGCGAGCAAUCCCCUUCGCCUCGCGAGUUGUGUGAUGCAGCUCGCCACUGCGAGCCACCUUACUCGCCAUAGCGAGCCAAGGCAGAGUGUAUGUUAGAUUUCGUGUUUCGACCUUUUUAGUUGGACCUUGAGUGCCUUGAGUGCCUGAACAUACCUAGUAUUGAUUAGGAAUGAAUGUAGGAUCAGAGGGAACCCAGAACAACCUUAGUUUGGGAGUUGAGUGGUGCUCGCCAUGGCGAGUAAGUACUCUCGCCUCGCGAGUACAACCAGAAUGAACUUGUUUAUGUGUUUGUGCGAUCUGUGUCGCACUUGUUGAUCAAGAGUGAACCCCUAACUAGUAAUGAGACCUAGUGAUGUCGUUAAAUGCAGUCUGUAGAGUUGUUUAAGUCAUGAUAAUAUUAAUUGAACAUGAGCUAAUGUAAUGUACAUUUAUGCAAGAUAUGAAGAUUUGAUAAUGAUACAAUUUAUGUGCUAUUGAUAUAAUGAUAUCAUCUUGUUAUGUGACCUGUUUAUGCUGCUUCCGUUAUUUAACUAAGUGCAUAAGUAUAUGAUGAAGUUUAGCUCCAAAUUAUUGGAUGCAUAUUGAUAAGUUGAUUACGAUGUUUUGUUCAUAUGUGUCCAUGCAUAGCAUCUCAUUGAGCUUAGUCCUCACCACGAAUAUUAGGAGCUUUGUCCUCCGCACGUUUUAUAGGAGCUUUGUCCUCCGCACGAUUAAAGUAUAUUAAUACUUAUGAUGACGAUUGGUACCACAUGCAUAUAAGGAGUCUAAGAGCAUUGUCACAUUGUCAUGAUUAAGAUGCCUUGUUGAUAAUGAAUGAAUACGUGAUUAAGUGAUAAGUGUUUAUUGAUUAUGUUAUGUCGUUGAUAAUAAUUGGAUGUAUGAUUAUGUGAUAACUGUUUAGCAUUUAUGCAAAGUUAAUAAUGGAAUGAUUAUGAUGUUAAUUUAUGAUUCACGAUUACACUGAUUAAUGUUAUUUUAUUAUGAAAUCUCACCCCUUCUGCUUGAAAAUGUUGCCCUUCGUAUGGGUAACUUGCAGGUGAUCGUGCUUAGUGUGCAGUUGCCGUCGUGAGUGACCUUGCCUUCACUGUGUCGUCUAGGUCGCUCUGAUACGUAACGGGAUGGGGUUAAUGCUAUAACAUGCUUCAUUCUCUUACGUGAUUAAUAUGAUAUUUUUAUAAUGUUUAAGAUAUUGGUUAAAUUAUUAUUUAACUGUUGGAUUUACGUUAUAUGUGAUAUCCCGUUGUUUGAUGUUUACUCUGAUAAAUAUUAUGUUUUUAAAGAAGUUUUGCUAUUGGGAAAACGGGGUGUUACAAUUGGUAUCAGAGCAGGUCGGUCCGUCCGGUCAAUUAGAGAGUCGUGUUGAGUCUUAGUAAUAUUUAUAUUACUAUCUUAUGUUGUUAUUGCUACUUUUGUAGAAUAUCAGGAAUGGCCGGAAGAAACGAUGCUGCGUUAGCUGCUGCUCUACAAGUUGUUGCCCAAGCUGUGGGACAACAACCUAAUGCAAAUGCUGGUGCGAACGCUGAAGCUAGGAUGUUGGAGACGUUCAUGAAGAAGAACCCUCCGACUUUCAAAGGACGUUAUGACCCUGAUGGAGCCCAGACGUGGCUUAAGGAGAUUGAGAGGAUUUUCCGGGUUAUGCAGUGCAUUGAGGAUCAGAAAGUGCGGUUUGGUACUCAUCAGCUAGCCGAGGAAGCUGAUGACUGGUGGGUUGCUCUUCUGCCUACCCUUGGGCAGGAGGGAGCUGUUGUGACUUGGGCUGUUUUCAGGAGAGAGUUCCUGAGAAGAUACUUUCCAGAAGAUGUUCGCGGGAAGAAGGAGAUCGAGUUCCUUGAGUUGAAGCAAGGAAACAUGUCUGUGACAGAGUAUGCUGCCAAGUUCGUGGAGCUGUCGAAGUUCUACCCGCACUAUACUGCUGAGAAUGCUGAGUUCUCGAGAUGCAUCAAGUUCGAGAAUGGUUUGAGGCCCGACAUCAAGAGGGCGAUUGGAUACCAACAGCUUAGAGUUUUUCAGGAUUUGGUCAAUAGCUGCAGGAUCUAUGAAGAGGAUACCAAGGCUCACUACAAGAUAGUGAAUGAGAGGAAGGGCAAGGGACAACAGAGUCGUCCUAAGCUGUACAGUGCCCCUGCUGAUAAAGGGAAACAGAAGAUGGUCGAUGUUAGGCGGCCUAAGAAGAAGGAUGCUACAGAGAUUGUGUGUUUCAAUUGUGGUGGGAAAGGCCACAAAAGCAACGUCUGCCCUGAGGAAAUCAAGAAGUGUGUCCGGUGUGGCAAGAAAGGUCAUGUUGUAGCUGACUGCAAUUGUACGGACAUUGUGUGCUUUAAUUGCAAUGGAGAGGGUCACAUUAGUUCACAGUGUACUCAGCCUAAGAGGGCACCGACUACUGGUAGAGUCUUUGCUUUGACUGGUACUCAGACAGAGAACGAGGAUCGUUUGAUCAGAGGUACUUGCUAUAUUAAUAAUACUCCUUUAGUUGCUAUUAUUGAUACUGGUGCUACGCAUUGUUUUAUUGCUUUCGAUUGUGUUUCUGCUUUGGGUCUUGAUUUGUCUGAUAUGAAUGGAGAGAUGGUUGUCGAAACUCCAGCUAAGGGUUCGGUGACUACUUCUCUCGUAUGUUUGAAAUGUCCUUUGUCUAUGUUUGGUCGUGAUUUCGAAAUGGAUUUAGUUUGUCUACCUUUGAGCGGUAUGGAUGUGAUUCUGGGUAUGAACUGGUUAGAGUACAACCACGUUCUUAUUAAUUGUUUUAGCAAGUCAGUGCAUUUCUCUUCCGUCGAAGAGGAAAGUGGUGCAGAGUUUUUUAUCUACUAAGCAGCUGAAGCAACUAGAACGCGACGGUAUCUUGAUGUUUUCGUUAAUGGCUACGUUAUCUUUUGAGAAUCAAGCAGUGAUUGAUAGGUUACCGGUGGUGUGUGAUUUUCCUGAAGUUUUUCCAGAUGAGAUUCCUGAUGUGCCUCCAGAGAGAGAAGUUGAGUUUUCUAUUGAUCUUGUUCCUGGAACGAAGCCGGUCUCGAUGGCACCUUAUCGUAUGUCUGCUUCCGAGUUAUCUGAGUUGAAGAAACAGUUGGAGGACUUGCUUGAGAAGAAGUUUGUUAGACCAAGUGUUUCACCUUGGGGAGCACCGGUUUUGUUAGUAAAGAAGAAAGAUGGUAGUAUGCGGUUAUGUAUUGAUUAUCGGCAGUUGAACAAGGUAACUAUCAAGAAUAGGUAUCCACUUCCGAGAAUUGAUGAUUUGAUGGAUCAGUUAGUGGGUGCACGUGUUUUUAGCAAGAUUGAUUUGAGGUCGGGUUAUCACCAGAUUAAAGUAAAGGAUGAAGAUAUGCAGAAGACAGCUUUCAGAACGCGUUAUGGUCACUAUGAAUAUAAAGUUAUGCCUUUUGGUGUUACCAAUGCACCUGGAGUGUUUAUGGAGUAUAUGAAUCGCAUCUUCCAUGCAUUUUUGGAUCGGUUUGUGGUUAUGUUUAUCGACGAUAUUUUGAUUUACUCCAAGACUGAAGAAGAACAUGCUGAGCAUCUGAAGAUUGUUUUGCAAGUGUUGAAGGAGAAGAAGCUUUAUGCUAAAUUGUCUAAGUGUGAAUUUUGGUUGAAAGAAGUGAGUUUCCUUGGCCAUGUUAUUUCCGGAGAUGGUAUUGCUGUGGAUCCGUCUAAAGUCGAAGUUGUAUCGCAAUGGGAUACUCCUAAGUCCGUUACUGAGAUUAGAAGUUUCUUGGGUUUAGCUGGUUACUAUAGAAGGUUUAUUGAAGGGUUUUCUAAGUUAGCUCUUCCGCUAACGCAGUUGACUUGUAAAGGUAAAACUUUUGUGUGGGACGUCCAUUGUGAGAACAGUUUCAGUGAAUUGAAGAAGCGUUUGACGACUGCUCCAGUUUUGAUUUUGCCGAAGUCGGAUGAACCUUUUGUGGUGUAUUGUGAUGCGUCCAAGUUGGGUUUAGGAGGUGUACUUAUGCAAGAAGGUAAAGUGGUAGCUUAUGCUUCAAGACAGUUGAGAAUUCAUGAGAAGAAUUAUCCUACGCAUGAUCUCGAGUUAGCGGCCGUAGUCUUUGUAUUGAAGAUAUGGAGACAUUACUUGUAUGGUUCGAGAUUUGAGGUGUUUAGUGAUCACAAGAGUUUGAAGUAUUUGUUCGAUCAGAAGGAAUUGAAUAUGAGACAGCGAAGAUGGCUUGAAUUGUUGAAAGAUUAUGACUUUGGUUUGAAUUAUCAUCCAGGUAAAGCUAAUGUUGUCGCAGAUGCCUUGAGUAGGAAGACAUUGCAUAUGUCCGCUAUGAUGGUCAGAGAGUUCGAAUUGCUUGAACAGUUUAGAGAUAUGAGUUUGGUUUGCGAAUGGUCACCUCAGAGUGUGAAACUGGGUAUGCUGAAGAUUGAUAGUGAGUUUCUGAAAAAUAUCAAGGAAGCACAGAAAGUUGAUGUAAAGUUUGAGGACUUGUUGGUUGCUAGAGAUCAGACUGAAGACAAUGAUUUUAAAAUCGAUGAUCAAGGUGUGUUGAGAUUCCGAGGAAGAAUUUGUAUCCCAGACAAUGGAGAGAUUAAGAAGAUGAUUCUUGAAGAGAGUCAUAGAAGUAGCUUGAGUAUUCAUCCGGGAGCUACGAAGAUGUAUCAUGAUUUAAAGAAGAUUUUUUGGUGGUCUGGUUUGAAACGAGAUGUGGCACAGUUUGUGUAUUCCUGUUUAGUUUGUCAGAAGUCGAAAGUUGAGCAUCAGAAACCUGCUGGGAUGAUGGUGCCUUUAGACGUGCCAGAAUGGAAAUGGGAUAGUAUAUCCAUGGAUUUUGUGACGAGUUUGCCGAAUACUCCUAGAGGGAACGACGCAAUUUGGGUUAUUGUGGAUAGAUUGACGAAGUCGGCUCAUUUUCUACCGAUUAAUAUUAGUUUCCCUGUUGCCUAGUUGGCAGAGAUUUAUAUCAAGGAGAUUGUGAACUUGCAUGGUGUUCCUUCGAGCAUUGUGUCAGAUAGAGAUCCAAGAUUUACUUCUAGAUUUUGGAAAAGUUUGCAAGAGGCUUUGGGUUCGAAGUUGAGGUUGAGUUCGGCGUAUCAUCCGCAGACAGAUGGUCAGUCGGAGAGGACAAUUCAGUCGCUAGAGGAUUUGUUGAGAAUUUGUGUUCUUGAGCAAGGAGGAACUUGGGAUAGUCAUCUUCCGUUGAUCGAGUUCACAUACAAUAAUAGUUAUCAUUCAAGUAUUGGAAUGGCACCUUUCGAGGCUUUAUAUGGUCGGAGAUGCAGAACCCCGUUGUGCUGGUUUGAGUCGGGUGAAAGAGUGGUCUUAGGACCAGAGAUUGUUCAGCAAACUACUGAGAAAGUUCGGAUGAUCCAAGAGAAAAUGAAGGCGUCGCAGAAUCGACAAAAGAGUUAUCAUGAUAAGCGUAGAAAAGAUUUUGAGUUUCAAGAAGGAGACCACGAGUUUUUGAGAGUCACUCCUAUGACUGGUGUAGGACGUGCUUUGAAGUCAAAUAAGUUGACCCCGAAGUUCAUUGGUCCGUAUCAGAUAUUGGAAAGAGUUGGAACAGUGGCUUACCGAGUGGGUUUACCGCCGCAUCUUUCGAAUUUGCACAACGUUUUCCAUGUGUCGCAACUUCGAAAGUAUGUUCCGGAUCCAUCUCAUGUAAUCCAAAGUGACGAUGUGCAAGUUAGAGACAACCUUACGGUAGAGACUUUACCGGUGAGGAUUGAUGAUCGUAAAGUGAAGACGUUGAGAGGCAAGGAGAUACCUCUCGUGAGAGUCGUUUGGACGGGAGCGACUGGUGAAAGCUUGACGUGGGAGCUUGAGAGUAAGAUGCUGGAGUCUUAUCCAGAGUUGUUUGCUUGAGGUAAAUUUUCGAGGACGAAAAUCUUUUAAGUGGGGGAGAGUUGUAACGCCCACUUUCGUUUAAUCGUUUAUUUAAUCGAGUUUAGGUGAUUAUAUUAUAAUUAUAUAAUAUAUGCAUGAUUUUGGUAUGUUUUGAUGAUUUAUGAUGUUUUGAUCGAUGACGUGAUGAGUUAUGAGUUUUGGAAGAUUUGAUAAGGAUAUGAGAAUUAUUUUAUUGUUAAAUAAAAUAAAGAUUUGAAAAUAAUAUAAAAUAUUUAGUUGAGGGCUGUUUUGAUAUUUUAGAUAGUUUUGGGGGAGAAAGUGAGAUAAGAUAAGUAAUUAAGAAGAGGUAUAUAAAGGUUAGACCUAGUUUUAGAAAAACAUUGUACGAACGACUGUUUUGGAGAAAAAAGAGAAAAGCUUAGAGAGGACCAAGAGACCAAGAGUGCUGCGAUUUUCUUCAAACAAGGUAAGGGUGAGACUAAUAAUUCAAUAACGUUGAUCGUUGUAAUUUUGAUGAUUAAUUGACAAAGUAAGGAUUGAUUUAGAAAAGUUUUGGAAUUAGGUCAAAACCUUAAAAAUUGAUGAUCAAACGGUAAAACUUGUUUAGAUUGAUGUAGAAACCGUCCUUUAACCUUAGAACAUGUUUAAGAUGGAUUAUGAAAUCAAAAUUAGGCUUUGAACCAUGUUGUGUGUUGGAUUUUUGAGAAAAACCCUAGUCUGCCCGUGCUUCUGUUCAUCGCUCGCCACGGCGAGUGAUGAGCCUCACCUCGCGAGUGAUGAACUUCAUCGCUCGCCACGCGAGCCCUUCCCUUCGCCUCGCGAGUUGUUUAGUUCAACUCGCCAUGGCGAGCAAUCCCCUUCGCCUCGCGAGUUGUGUGAUGCAGCUCGCCACUGCGAGCCACCUUACUCGCCAUAGCGAGCUAAGGCAGAGUGUAUGUUAGAUUUCGUGUUUCGACCUUUUUAGUUGGACCUUGAGUGCCUUGAGUGCCUGAACAUACCUAGUAUUGAUUAGGAAUGAAUGUAGGAUCAGAGGGAACCCAGAACAACCUUAGUUUGGGAGUUGAGUGGUGCUCGCCAUGGCGAGUAAGUACUCUCGCCUCGCGAGUACAACCAGAAUGAACUUGUUUAUGUGUUUGUGCGAUCUGUGUCGCACUUGUUGAUCAAGAGUGAACCCCUAACUAGUAAUGAGACCUAGUGAUGUCGUUAAAUGCAGUCUGUAGAGUUGUUUAAGUCAUGAUAAUAUUAAUUGAACAUGAGCUAAUGUAAUGUACAUUUAUGCAAGAUAUGAAGAUUUGAUAAUGAUACAAUUUAUGUGCUAUUGAUAUAAUGAUAUCAUCUUGUUAUGUGACCUGUUUAUGCUGCUUCCGUUAUUUAACUAAGUGCAUAAGUAUAUGAUGAAGUUUAGCUCCAAAUUAUUGGAUGCAUAUUGAUAAGUUGAUUACGAUGUUUUGUUCAUAUGUGUCCAUGCAUAGCAUCUCAUUGAGCUUAGUCCUCACCACGAAUAUUAGGAGCUUUGUCCUCCGCACGUUUUAUAGGAGCUUUGUCCUCCGCACGAUUAAAGUAUAUUAAUACUUAUGAUGACGAUUGGUACCACAUGCAUAUAAGGAGUCUAAGAGCAUUGUCACAUUGUCAUGAUUAAGAUGCCUUGUUGAUAAUGAAUGAAUACGUGAUUAAGUGAUAAGUGUUUAUUGAUUAUGUUAUGUCGUUGAUAAUAAUUGGAUGUAUGAUUAUGUGAUAACUGUUUAGCAUUUAUGCAAAGUUAAUAAUGGAAUGAUUAUGAUGUUAAUUUAUGAUUCACGAUUACACUGAUUAAUGUUAUUUUAUUAUGAAAUCUCACCCCUUCUGCUUGAAAAUGUUGCCCUUCGUAUGGGUAACUUGCAGGUGAUCGUGCUUAGUGUGCAGUUGCCGUCGUGAGUGGCCUUGCCUUCACUGUGUCGUCUAGGUCGCUCUGAUACGUAACGGGAUGGGGUUAAUGCUAUAACAUGCUUCAUUCUCUUACGUGACUAAUAUGAUAUUUUUAUAAUGUUUAAGAUAUUGGUUAAAUUAUUAUUUAACUGUUGGAUUUACGUUAUAUGUGAUAUCCCGUUGUUUGAUGUUGACUCUGAUAAAUGUUAUGUUUUUAAAGAAGUUUUGAUAUUGGGAAAACGGGGUGUUACAGAUGAAGUCCUAGAUGCCAUUUAUGCCUUGUUCAUUGUUGUCCACUUGAAAAGGAUAUGGAAACAACAUCAUCUAUUUUUCAAGUUCAUGGAGUUCUUACCCAACAAAAGGAAGAAGAAGGAUGAUGAGUUCUUUGUAUGAUAUAUGCCACCUUAACAGUGGUUGAUGCGUCAAGCUAAUGACAUUAAAAAAGCGCUUAGUGGGAGGCAACCCACGUCAGUAAGCAAUUUUCUAUAUGUUUUUUUCUCUUUAUGUUUUUUUUUAUUGUUCUCAAAUAAAAAUUAUUAUCACAUAACCACUUAUUGGUUGCCACUCGUAGCAUUGAUUGUUGAGUUUGCAUGAAUAUUUUAACCUUUCCAUCUCAAAAAAAAAAAAAAUUGUUUUUGUCUCAGAGAAUUAUUCUGACCGCCAAGGCAGAAGGCUAGCUUACCGACAAACUUCAAGAGCAUAAUGGCUACGGGGCUUGCUGCAGAAGAUAUUCAUCAGAAUCACCAUCUCUUUUUCUAUAGCAUAACCGGUGAGAUUUGAGCCAAACAUUUUUCACUUUUUUCUAUAAUUCUUUCAUAUGUGAGUAUCCAUGUUUAAAUGUUAUUUUUCUAGAGCUUGCAUUGGUUCUCUACAGACUAUUGGUCGUAUUUUCAUACACACGAGGCAUUUGUUUGGUACUCUGAGCCUUUUCAAGCCACCCUUAUUAUUAUGAUUAUCCUUUGCUAACCCUUUUGAGCCUUCAUGCAAAAUUUUAUUUAUUGUUUUGGCGACGAACCAUGUCACAAGUUUUGAACCCACUAUAUUAUAUCUGUUUAAUUUCUUUGGAGUUAGAUAGAGUCAUUGUUUCUUGGUAUUGGUUUGAAACUAAGUUUGGGGUUGCUGUUGGAACCAACAACAUUUUAAAUUUGGAGUGAGUGCUAGUAGAACCUUGGUAAAAAAAUAAAAAACUGAAAGAAAAUUGGUAGACUUAAUAAUAAAAAUUGGUCUGCACAAAAAAAAAAAAAGUAAAUAAAUAAGAGCCAAAGCAUCAAAAAAAUUGGUCUCUUCAAAAAUGAAAAAAAAAAGAAGCAUUUCUACUAGUACUCAUGUUGUUUUGACAAAGAGAUUGAAAGUGAGUAGUACUUUAAUGUUUAGGGAUCCGUAGUGUAUCUAACUCCAAUUCUUUUGAUUAACCUACUUUUCCAAAUAUAUCCCACUUUAACCUAAGCCACGCUAUAACCUUGAAAGACCUUUAAAGUGUGUGUGAUUAUAUGACUUUGAAUGAUUGUUUAGAAUUUCUUCAAGUUCAUAGCAAAAUGCAUUAACAUGUUGAUUUGAGCGGGCAAAUGCCAUGACCAGCCCCACUGGCUUGAGAAUUGGUGAGGAAGAGAAUAGGAAGGAGAGUGUGGUUGAAAGCAUGAACUAUCUUCUCUAAGUUUGCCCCGCUUGAGCAAAAUUGGUAAGUUAGUCAACGCCGGAAGUGGAACGAAUGAGGAUCUGAGCACCCUCUCGGAAAGGUAUGCCAUUUUCAAAUUUGUGCAAUUUCUAACUUUUGUCUAUUUUGUUACUUGAGGACAAGCAACAUAUUAAGUUUGGGGUUGUGAUAAUGUCUCUAUAGUUAGUAUUUUUAGAGUCAUUUUUAAGUAGUUUUAAGUUAAAUUGAAUCAAUUCAAAGUGUGUUUUGGAGUCAAACUGAGAUAAAAAGGAUUUUAAAAAUAUUUAGUUGUGUUAAUUAUUUUUGUUAUUAAUUUUCACUAACUAGAUGAAUUUUUGGAGUUUUUGUUCUCUUAAUUUUUAGGUAAUAAAUUGAGUUGUUGGAGUGAAAAAAAAAAAACCAAAGAUCAUGUUCAACGCAUAAGCCAAAGAAGGGCUGAACUUGUUUCCAUAAGAAAAGUGCAGAACAAAUUUCAAUCAGCUUGAUGUGCGCCCCGCAUGUUAAAAUACACACAUAAGAUUUCUCUUCCUCAUAUUAGUUCCAACGUGGCACCACAUGAUAGGCUAUAAUGCACUCAUUUUAUUCAUGUGGUCCCACCACAACAAGUGACCUUGACAUGAAGAAAGAGAGCACGUGAUUGGAGGAGGGGAAUUAGGUUUCACUUGUUUUGGAAUAUAAAAAGGAGGCAGCUGCAACAAAUACAAGGGACUUUUGGGAACCAGAGAGAAGAAGCAGCGCAUGACAAUGGGAAAGGAAGGCAACGACAAUUAAAGGGAUCCGGAUAGAGAACGACGAUGCAGGGUGACGUUGGUCUUGUCGGAAAAUUUGUCCGGUUUAUUCUCUUUUCUUUGUUGUUUAUUUUCUUUAUCAUGAGUAGCUAAUUUUCAUGUUGUUAGGGAUGAGAGUAUCUAGAUGACAACUUUUGUUAUAUGAUUUUCUUUUGAUUAUUGAAGAAGUUUAUUGAAUCAUUUUUCUUAUCUCUAUUCUUAAUGCUUUUAUUGCUUGGCCGCCUUUAAAUUGAUAUACGGUUUAUAUUGUGAAACAGAAGUUGAAUGAAUUUAUAAACGCUUUCAGAUAAGAAAUUAUUGCCUUUGUAAUCUAGGAAUAGAUGCAAACCCUUGAAACCAAUUACGAAUUCUUGUUCAAUCAUGCUUAAUUCUAAUCUUAAAUUCACUAAGGAAUUAGGGAUUAUUUUAGGAUUAAUGAUUUUUUCACUAAGGAAUUAGGGCAAGAAUAAAUUAGAGAAUUCGGUAAUGAUACGAUAAGUCUAUUCAAUGGUCAUAUUCAAGUUGUUAACUCAAGAUAGUCAUCUGGUGAAACUCAUCCCUGACAAUCUUAUUAUUAUAGUUCAAUCCAAUUUUACUUUACUUAAUUUUCAUUAUUGCAAUCACACAAAUUCAGUACCUUUUUGUUCAAUUAAGUCACAAAUAUUAUUCGACAGUAUAACGCGAUCCUCGAGUUCGACACUCGGUCUUACCGUUUUAAUUUUACUACUUGCACGAUUUCGUACACUGGCGAAAAUCGCUAUCAAACAUCCUUUCAGACAAAUCCAAAGCGAUCAAUGGCUACACAUUUAGUAUCACUGGAGGAGUUGUUUCUUAGAAAAGAAGAAAUAUACAAUAUUGACUCAGUACAUAAUGAAAUUUGAGAUGAGAUCACUAGAGAAAACUAAUGAAGAAACAAGUUGGUAAAAUUCUUGCUAGUUGAGAUCCCCUUAUGGAAAAAACUAUUGCAAGUUGUGUUAACUCAUUGUGAUAGUAACACGACUAUUGUGAAAUCGAGAAUCGUUACUAUAAUGGUAAGAGACGAUAAUUAAGGCACGAACAAAGAACAAUUAUAGCGAUAGCUACUCUUCAAUGGAGCGGUUAAAGUGGAUUUUGUACUGAUGAUAAAUUAGCAAUUCCUUUGUCGAAAUGAUUAACUAGAAAGAAUGUUUGAAACACAUCCAAUAGGAUGAAACUAAUGCCUAAAGAUCACGAGUGAUGGUAAUUACCCAGCCUAUAUGACUGGAGAUCACAAAAAUAUAGGUUCAAUGGGUAAUAACAAGUCAUGUUGUGAUAGAACAUGCUAUGAUAAAAUCUAGAAAAGUCUGAUUCCUGUAGCCAAAUGAGGAUGAGAUAAGAGAAACUCUAAAUGAUAUCAUUACCAUAUGUGGAUUGUAGUACAAAGCUACAAGAGUACUAUUGAACUCACCUAUACGAAUGUGGAACACCGGCCGGUUACUAUGGGAUUUUGAGGCAGAAUACCUAGAACGUUCGUCAAAUUGGGAUAAACGUGCAGGGCCAUAAACACACGAGAAAUAAUAUUUGUACAACUAUCUUGUGACAACUAUUUCUCUCAUACUCAAAUGGUGUUCUUUUUCUCUCUCUUCCUCUCUCUCUCUCUCUCUCUCUCUCUCUCUUUCUCUCUCUCUCUCUCUCUAUUAUUUUUGACCAAUAAGAAGAGAGAGAAACAAAGUUGUCACCAAAGUUGUCAUUAAAUGGAUGUCCAAAUAUCAUUGCUCUAAACGCACAAGCUUUUAGAAUACACCAGAAAAAGGUUGCGUGCAGGUUCUGUGUCUAAGAUCGAGUUUAAUGCCACAAGCAACUCUAGUUAAUUGAAAUUUUACUCGCUAUGCAGAGGUUCAAGUUGUAGACGACACCUUUGUUUAUUAGCAAUCUUAUAAAAACAUCUUUGACGUUAUUUCUGAAACUAUUUUAAAAUCCAAGUGGGGAUUGUUGGAACAUGUGUAAAAAUUGAGUUAAAAAACUAGACACAAAUUCUCACAUUUGGUAGAACUAGUGUUGUGUGAAUUAAAAAAAAGUGGAAGUCCUACAUCGGAUGGUGCACACAUAAUAGUAGUAUAUAGUAGGGGUGUACCUCUAAAGGGGUACAUAAUUAUGUGAACAAAGUAAGCACUAGCGAAAUUUUUUUGAUAUAUAUUUUAUUAUUUGAAAAUGUUAACUUAAAUAAUUAAUUUAAUCAUUAUUAGAAAGUGCUUUUUUAGUCCUCAAGUUUUGCUAAAAUAUUUUAGAACGCAAUCUGAAAUAUUUUCGUAUUCAAUAUAAUAUAUUUCGGUAUUUAUAUGAAAUAUAUUUUUGUACUCAAUAGUAUACUUUUGUACUCAAUUUGCGAUAUUUUUAUACUAGAUCUAAUAUGUGAAUUACUUGUUCCCAAAUUUGCACACAUACUAUUUGUGAAUUUUCUCUAUAAAUUCAGAGCUCACAUAGUUCAUUCCAUACACCGAAAAAUAUUCUGAAACAUUGAAUCAUUUUCUUCGCUCUUCCACUUUGACUUGUGUUAACGAGUCUUUCUUCUCUUCAUCUAGUCCUUUUUCGGGGUAUAAUAUCCCUUGGAAUUAAGAACGGUUUUAUGAGCAUAGUCCCUCAAUAAUUUUUGUCCUUGCGGAAUAAAGAAUAUUUUUAAGAUCAUAGUCCCUUUUCUGGAAUAAUGUCCUGUUCAGAAUUAAGAAUGAUCUUAAAAUAAAAGUAUAUAUAAUCUCUUUUAUAUUUCCUUCCCUUGGAUAAAGUUAUAUGUUAGAAUGGUGAUACCACCAUAUUUGAGUGGUUGAAAUUUCAUAUUGGUAUUUGGAUUUGUUAAAAGUUAGAAUGGUGGUAACAUCAUAUUUGAGUGGUCACAAUACCAUAGUAGAGUGGUCAUAGCACCAUAAUUGAUUGGUUUCAGUACUAAAAUAUGAGUGGCCUUAGUAUCAUAUUGGAGGUGUAAUUUUCGAACGUUGUUUUUACAGCGUAGUAGUUAAUCGUGUUCUUGUAGUUUAACUUGUUUUAUAUAGUCUCCUUUGCAUUACUUUGGACAGUACCAUGGAAUGUCUUAAAGAGAGCGAUAUGGUCGUGACUCAACCUAGUAACAACUUCAGUAAAUUUAUUUUUGGCAAAAUUACAAUUUUAGUCCCUUAACUUAAUUUCAGGUAACAGUUUGGUCCUUUAUCUUUUUUUCAUUUCAAUUUAGUCAUUUUUGUCCAUUUUCAUAUACAUUUUCAAGCUUCAAAUCUAAUAUUCUUAUCCAAACAUAAACGAGGAUCAUAGAUUUGAAGACUGAAAGACCAUAAGAAAAUAAAAUCAUUAAUUUUAAGCUUAAAAAUUCAUAUGAAAAUGGAUAAAAAGGACCAAAUUAAAAUGAAAAAAAGAUAAAGGACCAAACUAUUACCUGAAAUUAAAUUAAGUGAUUAAAAAUGUAACUUUACCUUUAUUUUUUUAAAAUAGAAUUUAAAAAUUCAAAUACAACGGUGUUCCGUUAAAUGUUAUUAAAUGUUAUUCUACAUCAUUAUAUAUGAUGUGUAAUAGUAAAAAAUAAGCUCCAAAUUGGGUUGUGUAAAAAAAAUAAGCCUUAAAAUUUUGUUUCGAUUAAACUAUGACGAGUACAAGUGUAUUUGAUAGGAUGCCCAAUUUAGAGUAGAAGCCAUCACCACAUUCUUCCUUAGCUAAGAAGCCCUCAUGAAAAUGCAUACAUCUUAUUUUAUUACAUACUAUAGAUCUCAAUGCUCCACCCAAUUAACACAAAGAAACAACACAAGAAUAGAACCAUCCAUCACAUGCCAAUUUUUUUUUUUUUGGCACUUUAAAAAAAACCCCAUAUGUCUUGUUUUGAUUUCACACGAAGAAGAGAUACUAUUAAUACAAAGACAACAUUCAAACAAUGAAGCAUUGAAUCCGACACAAACACCGAACACAACAUAAUCAUGUCGCUACCUAUAAUAUAAAAAAUAUAAGACAACGACGCAUUCAUAUAUAUAAUUAAUUUUGUGUGUGGAACUUGGUAAGAGACGGAGGAGGUAUUAAUCAAGCAUGAACAACCAAAGCUAUUAACAACACAAUUCAGACAAAAUUCCCUCAACAUGCCCAAAGGCCAAACCUAAACAUUAUCUUUAAAUGUGUCAAUUCAAAAGCAGCACACAUGAACAUAGUUCAUAACUACAGUUUUAUUAAUUAAAAUGUUUCAAAACAUUACUAAGAAAACUGAAAUUAAUCCAACUAAAAAAAACUGAAAUCAAUCCAAUCUAAAUUAAUGUAGGACAGCAUUCUCCCCAAUCAAAUUUUUAUUAAAAGGGUCUUAUUAAUUAAUGUUCCCGGGAAUUCUUUAAGGAUUCCAAAUUUAGCAAUUGUUUUUUCAAAAAUAACUAUUACAAUUUACAAUGCAUUAAAUACACAAUUUUUCAUAAAAAAAAACUUACCAUUUAAAAUGUUUAAAGAGUGUCUUGGGGGCACUAGUUAACAUUUCCCUUAUUAAAAAAUUUGGAAAAUGUUAAGUAGUGCCCAGUGCCCCCGGAAAAUGUUUUUUUUCGAAAAUUAUGUAUUUUACUUUUUGAAACUUGAAAAAAAGUUGAUUUUAAUGUUGACUUUGCUUUUUCUUUCUAAUUUUGGCUACUUAACUAAUACCCGGAGGCACCGGUUAACAUGACCCAAAAAAGUUCCUCAUAUUUUUCACUUGCCUCCUCCACCUAUUCAUCCUAUAGUUUUGAGCCAAUUCUUGUUUAUCUUUCCCUGCCACCAGUUGAGCUUUCUCACCGUUUUUCUUUGCUUCCUCCUCUUCCUUUUCCUUUGCAAUUUCAAGAUAUUGAAUCAAAUUCUUCAAGCAAGACUCAGCAUCUUCGGUGGUCGACUUUGGCAUCAAAUUCUCGGCAACAUCAGCAGGUGACAUAUUAGUCUCUCCCAACAACUUUUCAAUAAUUGGAAACAAAUCACCAUGAGACUCAACAUCCAAGUAGUUCUUAGCAAGAACCUUGAACGCUUGAUAUCUACAAUAGGACAUUUCUAUGUGUUUAUCCAUCCUUCCCCUCCUAAUUAGAGCAGGAUCAAGUUUGUCCACAAAAUUAGUUGUGAAAAUUAUGAUCCGUUCUCCUCCACAUGAUGACCAAAUUCCAUCAAUAGAAUUCAACAAACCCGAAAGAGUUACAUUGCUUUUCCUUUUCUCUUCUUCUUCUUCAUCAUCGUUGUCAUCAUCUUCAUCUUCUUCUUCACUUUUCUUAUCAGUUUUCUCUUUAUUCUCAUUUUUAUCAGUAUGAUCUUUCUCCUUUUUCUUCUUCCUUUGACCAGUAAGCUCGAGAGAACAAUCAAUAUCUUCAAUAACGAUAACUGAUUUGCUUGACGUCUCAAUCAAAAGUGUUUUCAACUCAUUGUUAUCCUUGACAGUGGUUAAUUCUAGAUCAUAUACAUCGUAGUUCAUGAAAUUUGCAAUAGCCGAUAUCAUGGUAGAUUUCCCAGUUCCUGGUGGACCAUAAAGUAGAUAACCCCGUUUCCAAGCCUUUCCAACUUUAGCAUAAUACUCUUUCCCUUUCUUGAAUUUAACAAGAUCGUUUAUGAUCUCUUCUUUCUUCUCCGGUUCCAUAGCAAGUGUUUCAAACCUUGCAGGGUGUGCAAAAUUUGUGUGACUCCACCCCGACAUCCACCAACAACCACCAUUGUUGGUGUAAAGCUUUAGUCGCCUAUUCUUAAAUAUAAUAGCCUUUCCUUGUUCCAACACAUGUUGUAUGUAAGAGGAAGUAAUGAGAUCGCGAUGCCUUUUGUGGAAAGUUAGGGUGAAGCAUCUUACCACAUCGAAAGAUCUUCCUGAAGAUGCUUUUCUUCUUGGAGCUUUGCUAUUUGCAGACCACCAAACUUUGACUCCAUUGAACUCAUCUUCGAUCUCUUCGUUGUCGUCCAUGCUAAGGACAAGCGGGGAUUGGCUAUCUUCCACAACUUCGGCUUCAAGUCGUUUGGCUCGUUUACUCGAGUUCGCACCAAGAUAUGUUUGGAUGAUUGUGUAAGUUUCGCUUUGUUUGAGACGCUCGCCCGAUGAUUCAUUGAAAGUUAUUUGGAUGUAAGGGGACAUAAGAUCUGUAAAUUUGUGUUUGUAGUUUUCAACAAACUUACGAAGAUCAGAUGGGCAGAAUUGCUCAUACAUGGCAUAAACAAACAUAAGGCUAGCCGCAAUUGAGCCUAAUUGUGACAAUAUUUCCCCAAUUCCCAUUGCCAUCUCUAAUACUUAGAAACGAUUGUGCCUAUUUUUUUUAUUUUUUUGUGUGUGUUGCUUUAACCUAUAUGGUAUGAUUUUAUAAGGAGUGAUUUAGAUUUUGUAUCUUGGUGACCAAGUUAUCUUUUUGACCAAGUUAUCUUGGAGACAUACAAUUUGUUGAUUUUGUAGGCGUGCUGAAAUUGAAAACUAUAGGCCAGAUUAAAAAGAAAGAAAAUAUAAAAACGAAAAAAAAAAAACAUUUUAUUUGCUCAAUUAGAAAAAUAUAUCUAUUUAAUUCCACAUCUUGUCAAAAAAAAAAUCUCUUUUAUUCCACCAAAAAAAAAAAAGAAUUUAAUUAGUACUAUAAUUUAACGGCGUACAUCUUUCUUUAUUAUCAAUCUUAUAAAAACGUCUUUGACGUUAUUUCUAAAACCAUUUUUAAAAUUCAAGUGGUGGAUUGUUGAAACAUGUGUGAAAAUUGAGUUAAAAGAUUAGACAUAAAUUUUCACAUUAAAAAAACAAUAGUAGUAUUUAUAUAGUGGCAGCAUACCUCUAAGGAGAGGUACAUAAUUAGAACACUAGUUUAUUCAAAAAAAAUUAGAACACUAGUGUUUAUAUUUGCAAACACCACGAGGGACGAUCCAAUUUUAAAAACACUCCAUAUAUAUUUUAGAGAAAUGAUAUUUGUAUAACCAUUUUGUGACAAUCUUUUGAUAAUUUUUUUCACAUACUUACAUUAUACUAUUGUUCUCUCUAUUCCUUUUUCUCUCUCCAUUGUUUUUUACCAAUGAAAAAAGACAAAAAAAAAUUAUCAUACAAAUUGUAUAAAAUGAGUUGUUCAAAUAUCACUAUUUUAUAUUUUAACUAUAUUUGAAGUUGACAAUAAAAUGGAAAAGGAGUUCUAUUAUUUGCGUGAUGCAAAGGGGCGUAAAGAAUCUCACCCACUACAAAGUAUCUUAAUUUUAAAUAUUAUUUGAUGAUUUCUAAAAAAAUAUAUAUUAUUUGAUGUAUAAUCAAACAAAAAAAAAAGAGUUGAUUAUAUGGAUUUUUCUUGCUUUUUUUAAUGUAUUAAAGGGGAAGAAAAAGGAGAACGAGACCUUAAGCAAAAAGAAAAAGUAGGGCCCACAUUUUGGACUUGUUUGAUUAUCAUGAUAUUUUCAUAACUAGAGGAAGACAUUUAUUGUGCCUGUUCUUCUUGGUGGAUGGUUAAUAUGACCCCAUAUGUCCUUUCCGUUGAAACUUGUGUUGUGGAUCUACUCCAAUAAUUUGAUCAAGAAAAUGAUGAAGAUGAAGUGUGCACAUAUAUUCUAAAUAUUGUUGUAUAUCUUGAUUGUUGAAAAGAAGUUGCUGCACUUGAAACCUGAAAAGUUUAAUGGUUAUGUAUGUAAAACUCAAAGCGCAUGGGGUUGUCACACUAACAUUUAGGUUCGAUUCGCCCCCACCAAUUUUAUUGGAUGCAAUAAGGAAUGACCGACGAAUCCUCUUCACGAUACUAUGAAUUCCUUCACGUGUAUUGCACAACCACACCAAAUAUAUCUCUUAACACUAUUUUACAGAUUUAUGAUUCCAGCAAUUCACUCAUGCAUUAGAGAGUUGAUGGAUGAUUUAGAGUAAGAGAAUGAGGGAGAAUUAUGUUGGUAAUGGAACAAAAUUGUGUGUUAUAGUGUGUCCAAUUGAUUCUGAUUCUCUGUGUGUGUUAGUAGUGUCUAUGUAGAUGAGUAUUUGCAUUAACAAACUUUUUUUUUAACUAAACACGCAUACUUAAUAACUUCAAUAAUAUUCGUGAUAAAAUUUCAACAAAAUAUAAAAACUAUAAUAUAGAAGAUGAAAUUAUAAUUUCUCAUUUAUUCAUAUAAUUAUAUUAUGAAAUACAUUAUGCUCACAAGAGCAAAAAGCAUUACCACCAUCUUCAAAGAAGCUUCCAUUUCAACUCGACUUUCUUGACAAAUAAAAUCAAAGAUGCUAUUAACUUGUUAUCAUAUGCUAGACUAGUGAGGUGUGCUUAUUUAUGCAAUUUUGAAAAUGUUGAUAAGUACAAUUAUUUCCAUUUAUUACGUGCAAAUCUUAGAAUCAUGUUUUUUUUUUAAAUUUUAAUUUACUUUUUAUUCUUUGUAUAACUCUUUUUUUAAUAAAAAAUUGGUUCAAAUAAAUGGGAAAAAAUAUUUCUUAUUAAUUUUUUUAUAUAAAAGUAUUUCUAAUGUAUUUUUAAAGUAAAAGUAAUUCUAAAGAUAUUGGUAAAAAAAAAAAAACUAGUUGUAAGAAUCUUUUUACUUAUAGAUAAAGAAAAACAUGAUAUUGGUCACAAUUCGAUUGAAUUCAUAAAUGAUUUUACUAUCUCUGUCAUACCCCAAUUUUUGACCAAAGAUCUUGCAUUUAUUCCCUUUUCUCACUUUAUUUUAUUUUAUUAUUUAUUAGUCUUUUAGUUUUAUCUUACCUUUUAUUUUCCAUCUUUUAGUUUUGUUUUAAUUUGUUUUUAUUUCGUAUUAGAUUUAUUUUAUUUUUCAUUUCUUUUUAAUUAAUUAGUGUCGAAAAAAAUCAAAGCUUAUUUUAAAUUUAUUUAAUCAUACCUUGAGUCUAUCUUCUUUUAAAUUAAAAAAUACAAACAAGCUUAUUUUGCCAUUUGUCUUUUCACUUUAAAACCUUUUUCAAAACUCAUAAAAAAAACAAAACCAAUCAAACUUCAAUUUUUACACCGAACUACGAAGUUUUGAUCCCUCACAUGUACGUAGACAAAGGACUUGUCCUUCUAAAUCAACUAAAAUCAAUUUUCUUUUUCUUUUUUUUAAUGUAUUAAAGGGUAAGAAAAAGGAGAACGAGACCUUAAGCAAAAAGAAAAAGUAGGGCCCACAUUUUGGACUUGUUUGAUUAUCAUGAUACUUUCAUAACUAGAGGAAGACAUUUAUUUUGCGUGUUCUUCUUGGUGGAUGGUUAAUAUGACCCCAUAUGUCCUUUCCGUUGAAACUUGUGUUGUGGAUCUACUCCAAUAAUUUGAUCAAGAAAAUGAUGAAGAUGAAAUGUGCACAUAUAUUCUAAAUAUUGUUGUAUAUCUUGAUUGUUGAAAAGAAGUUGCUGCACUUGAAAUCUGGAAAGUUUAAUGGUUAUGAAUGUAAAACUCAAAGCGCAUGGGGUUGUCACACUAACAUUUAGGUUCGAUUCGCCCCCACCAAUUUUAUUGGAUGCAAUAAGGAAUGACCGGCGAAUCCUCUUCACGAUACUAUGAAUUCCUUCACGUGUAUUGCACAACCACACCAAAUAUAUCUCUUAACACUAUUUUACAGAUUUAUGAUUCCAGCAAUUCACUCAUGCAUUAGAGAGUUGAUGAAUGAUUUAGAGUAAGAGAAUGAGGGAGAAUUAUGUUGGUAAUGGAACAAAAUUGUGUGUUAUAGUGUGUCCAAUUGAUUCUGAUUCUCUGUGUGUGUUAGUAGUGUCUAUGUAGAUGAGUAUUUGCAUUAACAAACUUUUUUUUUUUUAACUAAACACGCAUACUUAAUAACUUAAAUAAUAUUCGUGAUAAAAUUUCAACAAAAUAUAAAAACUAUAAUAUAGAAGAUGAAAUUAUAAUUUCUCAUUUAUUCAUAUAAUUAUAUUAUGAAAUACAUUAUGCUCACAAGAGCAAAAAGCAUUACCACCAUCUUCAAAGAAGCUUCCAUUUCAACUCGACUUUCUUGACAAAUAAAAUCAAAGAUGCUAUUAACUUGUUAUCAUAUGCUAGACUAGUGAGGUGUGCUUAUUUAUCCAAUUUUGAAAAUGUUGUUAAGUACAAUUAUUUCCAUUUAUUACGUGCAAAUCUUAGAAUCAUGUUUUUUUUUUUUUUUUUUUUUUUCAAUUUUAAUUUACUUUUUAUUCUUUGUAUAACUCUUUUUUGAGUAAAAAAUUGGUUCAAAUAAAGGGGAAAAAAUAUUUCUUAUUAAUUUUUUUAUAUAAAAGUAUUUCUAAUGUAUUUUUAAAGUAAAAGUAUUUCUAAAGAUAUUGGUCAAGAAAAAACUAGUUGUAAUAAUCUUUUUACUUAUAGAUAAAGAAAAACAUGAUAUUGGUCACAAUUCGAUUGAAUUCAUAAAUGAUUUUACUAUCUCUUUCAUACCCCAAUUUUUGAUCAAAGAUCUUGCAUUUAUGCCCUCUUCUCACUUUAUUUUAUUUUAUUAUUUAUUAGUCUUUUAGUUUUAUCUUACCUUUUAUUUUCCAUCUUUUAGUUUUAUUUUAAUUUGUUUUUAUUUCGUAUUAGGUUUAUUUUAUUUUUCAUUUCUUUUUAAUUAAUUAGUGUAAAAAAAAAAUCAAAGCUUAUUUUAAAUUUAUUUAAUCAUACCUUGAGUCUAUCUUCUUUUAAAUUAAAAAAUACAAACAAGCUUAUUUUGCCAUUUGUCUUUUCACUUUAAAACCUUUUUCAAAACUCAUAAAAAAACAAAACCAAUCAAACUUCAAUUUUUACACCGAACUACGAGGUUUUGAUCCCUCACAGGUACGUAGACAAAUGACUUGUCCUUCUAAAUCAACUAAAAUCAAUUUUCUUUUUCUUUUUAACUCAUCGUUCAAUUAUAUUUUCAUCCCUUUAAAAGCAAACAAGUUUAAGCACAAAAAGUUAAAUAAAAUCAAAAGGUUCUCAUAGAGUACUACGAACAUAAAGAGUGCUAAUACCUUCCAUUUUUCUAUGGUAUUUGAACUUUUUUCCACUUUCUAUUGAAAAAUUAAAAGUUCAGUCGUGACUAAAAAAUAACGAGUCAAUGCUAAUCAAAUAGCUAUAAUCUCCAAAAAAUUACGCGACAAUCUCAUUUAAAUUGUCGACUGACCCUACAAACCAACACGAGUCUUUUUAGCGUGUUUUGUCCUCACUCGCACGCUUAUCGGGAAACUUCUCAGUAGGUCACCCAUCCUAGUACUAUUUCAAGUCAAGCACGCUUAACUGUGGAGUUCUUAUGGAAUGGGCUACUGAAAAGAAGAAGCAUCUUUUUGAUAUAGGUAGUCCCUAACAAUUCUUAUAAACCUUCCUUCAACCAUGCAGUCCCAUACCUGCACGGCCUCGGGAUCCUCUCAUUCUAAUGUGAUUCGAUUCCUCUAGAACUGUCAGGAGCCGCUCAUUGUCGUGGCUUGUGCACCGGCAACCAGUCCCUGCCCUCGUCAGCCUUGGGUGUUACAUGCCCACCAACUUCCGCUUGGUUUGUCCUCAAACCAUACCGUACUAGGGAAAUGUAUGCUCUGAUACCAUUAUGAACACCCCUUACGACUUUAAGCAUUGCCGACUGACCCUACAAACCAACACGAAUCUUUUCAGCGUGUUUUGUCCUCACUCGCACGCUUACCGGAAACAUCGUAGUAGGUCACCCAUCCAAAGACUACUCCAAAUCAAGCACAUUUAACUGUGGAGUUUUUAUGGAAUGGGCUACCAAAACAAAGAUGCAUCUUCUUUUUGGUAGCGCACAAGAACAUGUUACAUCACCGGUUGUAGUGAGGUGCACACAGAAACAAAAGUUGUUCCCCCUAGCCGCAACAACAGAUUGAGCAGGUUCAACAAACAACUAAGGCUGAGGCAACCAUUGAUAUUGGAACAACGACACAGUCUAAUGAUGAGGAAAAUAAUGUGUGUUCAGAGGACAUUCCGACAGCAGCACUAUACAAUUGGUAACUCCUCUUACCCGCAGCCUGGUUUCACAUGAUAACACUUUUAGCAUUCAAUUAUUUAAUGCAUCUGAUGUAGUAGUUAGCUAGAGGUGAUCUUGGAGGGGACCAAGAAUCUGUUUUAUCUCUCGUUAAAGAAACAACACUUGAUAUCAGUAGUAUAGUGGCUCCUGAUGACGCCACGGUUGUCUGACACUACAAGAGGAUGCAUUUUAUGCAUUUUUGGUUAGCAAAGGCAGCUGUGAAUGAUGCACCUUUUAUAGAGGUAGUAUCAAAGUCUAAAAAAAAAAAAAAUACAUAAGGUUGCAUACAAAACCUGCUCUCAGGGUCCUCUUCCGCCGUCUAAAUGAAUAUUAUUCGUCGUAUAAUUGUUCAACAAAAUAUGAAAACUAUAAUAUAGAAGAUGAAAUUAUAGUUUCUCUUUUAUUCAUAUAAUUAUUAUGAAAAAAUAUUUCUUAUUAAUUUUUUUAUAUAAAAAUAUUUCUAAAGAUAUUGGUCAAGAAAAAACUAGCUGUAAUAAUCUUUUUACUUAUAGAUAAGCAAAACAUAUGAUAUCAGGCAAAAUUCAAAUGAAUUCUUAAAUGAUUCAACUAUUUCAUAUUUAUAUAUACUUUUAGGUGUUUUUUUAGGGUUUUUUUUUUCUAGAUUACCUUUGAAGAAUGGUGGGUAAUUUACCCACCAACCAAUGAAAAUGAGCAAUUUGUUGGUGGGGUCAAGAUAGUUCAUGGAUACCACUUAAAAAUGUGCUUAUGUGGCUAAUGUGUAUUGGUUGGGGUAAAUUAUCCACCAUUCUUCUAUGGGUACCCUAGUUGUCAUCUUUUUUUAGAGAUGUACGUUUAAGUGUUAGAAUUAUUAAAUUUUCCCCCAAAAAAGGUUUUAAAUUUUAUAAUUACGAAGUUAUUUGAAAUAUUAGUGCAUAGUGUUAGUUAACGUUUUUGUUAAUCAUUCAAAAAAAAGUUAUCGUUUUUUCUUAAGACAGAUGGGUGUAGACAGUGAACCAUCGAAUCCAAAGGCGGCCUUAAAUAAAAUAUUCAUACUUAUAGAGACUUGCUUGAAGAAUUUGCCUGUGUUUGGAUGAAGGUUUGGGAGGGAAGAAUUUACUUUUUGUUGUUAAAUUACGCACACUAUGAGAUAUUUUUUAAAAAUUAAAAUAAUAACAUGAUAAACAAUCAUAUAAUAUUUCAAUCACACUAAAUUUAUUUUAGAAAAACGUGUUAUAUAGUCCGUAGUUUAAAAAAGAAAAGUAAAUUCUCCCCUCCCUUCGCCUUCCAAACCCUCCAUUCAAACACACUGUAUGUUUGGAUGGAGGGUUUAUGAGAGGAAGAAAGGACAGAGCUUACUUUUUGUUUUUAAAUUACGCACACUAUGAAAUAUUUUGUAAGAAAGUAAAAUAAUAACAUGAUAAACGAUCAUAUAAUACUUCAAUCACACUAUAAAUUUAUUUAAAAAAAUAUAUUUUAUAUAGUUCGUAAUUUAAAAAAGAAAAGUAAACCCUCCUCUUCUUUCUCAUCCUAAGCUCAUGAUGGGAGAACUUGCUUAAGGCUCACGAGAGAAUGCCUAAUCAAAAGCCCAACCAAGUAAAAGAAAAUGUAUAUCUAAGUUUUGAUAGCAUUGAGUUAUACUUUCUAACUGAAGAUCAGCACGCCGAAAAAUACACUUUGUACAUAAUUCAAUAUUGGAUCACCUCGUUCAGUUUGUUGGGUUCGUGGGUUAUUCUAAAAAUGUUCGUUUGACACUUAAUAUUAUUUGGCUUUUCGUGGUUUGGGUCAUUCAUAAAGAGAGAAAUAAACAAUUUUUUCAACAUCAGGAGGAGCAUCUGCAAGCUUUAAGUGAAAAUGUUAAGCUUCCGUUAUUUUGGUGGUUAAAAUCGAGAUAUGUUACUUUCGAUUUUGAUUAUCAUCUUUGUAGGCUUAAUCGUAUUCCUUAUUUAACUAUUGUAACUCGAUAUGUUUUCUCUUUUGGUUGUUUUCAGACUUUUUAUUAUGUAUCUCAGAUGUUUAAUAAGUCAUUUCCAGUACAACUUGUGUUGGAAGGACUUGUUUUGAUUGAUUAAUACUUGUUUCAUUUCGAUCUUUUAAGGUGUGUUUGGAUUGAGGGUUUGGGAAGGGAAAUGAGCGGAGAGUUUACUUUUCGUUUUUAAACUACAGACUAUAUAACAUGUUUUUCUAAAAUAAAUUAAGUGUGAUUGAUGUAUUAUAUUUUUUUUGAAGAAACUAAUAGAAAUAUAAUAAAAUCAAUCCCUCAAGCACAAGAUGUGCCUGAGAAAUCUGAUAAAGUUAAAUACAAUUGCCUGAGAAAUCUGAUAAAGUUAAAUACAAUACAAAAAGGCUAUGUAAGCCAUGAAACAGAAACCAAAAACAGACUUUACAAAACAGUCUGUAAACAAGGUAAAGGAUUAAUUCUCCAAUACGAAUAAUAAAAAACGAACAAGAUGAAAUUAGCUUUCAAACACCAAUAUGUUUGGAGUUUGACUCUUUCAAGUAGAAACUCCAAAAGAGCACUUUGAUUUUGGAAAAUCCUCCUGUUGCGGUCUUUUCAUAUAGUAUAUAAGACCGAAAUCCAAAUGAUAGUAAAAGCUUGCAUAGAAUUCUUUGAGAACCCACCUAGAGCGCAAAACUGAUGAGCAUGAGAAUAUAAAUUGCCAUUGAGAACCGUAACAAAACCUAACCAAUCCGAAAUCAUAAGCCAUAAACGACCAUAAUAGUUGCAUUGGAAAAACAAAUGAUCCAUGUCCUCCUCGUUACCACAUAAAGCACCACAAGAAACAUUGGUUGCCUCAAGGAUAUUCCUCUUACGAAGAUUAUCCUUUGUAGCAAGUCUAUUCAGAAAAAGCCGCCAAACAAAAAUAUUAACUUUUAAGGGAACCGCUUUAAGCCAUAGAAAUUGAUCAAAAUCUGCAGUGAUGUUAGUAUCCACCGCUGUUAAGUAAGAAUAAGCAGAAUGCACCGUGUAUACUUGUGAUGAGUGGAGUCUCCACACCCAUCUGUCAGCUAUGUCAACCUGAAAAACAAAAUUAAUCAACUGCUCCACACACUCCGCCACCAACUCCUCCUCCCAUGCAAAUAAUAUCCGUCUCCACCUCCAAGCACCCCCACCAUCACUCCUUUAUUUUCUGACAAUUCAUAAAGUCUAGAGAAAGCCACUGACAGAGGAACAUUUAACAACCAAGAGUCCUCCCAAAACAAAGUAGUACUCCCAUCACCUACCUUCCUGCCUAUGUUAUCAACCAACCACGUAGACUCAACCAACCCCACACCAGCUCUAACUUGGUUUAACUGACGCCACCAAAUCGAUCCAACACCCUCACAAAACCGCACCCUCCCCCCAAACUCUCCGUAUUUAGCACGCAACACCACAUUCCAUAAACUUUCCUUAUCCUCCAAAACCCUCCACACCCACUUUCCUAAUAAAGACAAAUUAAACUCCCGUAAUCUUUUCACACCCAAACCUCCAUUCUCCUUUUUCAAACAAAUAUUAUCCCAUUUAAUCCAAGAAAUUUUCCUAGAAUCCUCACCACCACCCCAAAAAAAAUUAAGAAAAAUAGAAUCAAGGGUAGAAAUGAUACAUGAGGGAGCUUAGAAGAAGGAAAGGAAAUAAACUGGAAUGGACGACAGAACGGACUUUAGUAAAACCAACUGACCUCCCAACGAUAAAUUUUUAGACUUCCACCUAGAUAACCGACGACGAAUUCUCUCUACCAAAGGGUACCAAAAGAUAAGUUUACGAGGAUCUCCACCAAUAGGCAAACCUAAAUAAAUGAAAGGUAACCGUCCAUGUCUACAAUGCAUUACCACUGCUGCCUCAUGUAACCACGACUCAGUAAUAUUCACACCAAACAACAUGCUUUUGUGAAAAUUAACUUUUAGACCUGAUAUAGCUUCAAAUAAUAAAAGAACAGCCUUCAUUGCUCUAACAUUAGCCCAAGACUUAAUACCAACCAAUAAAGUGUCGUCAGCAAACUGCAAAUGAGACACCGACACAAGUAUCUGCGUCCCAACUGAAUACGAUGUAAACAAUCCAUUGGAGGCAACCGCAGACAUCAUCACGUUAAGGCCUUCAGCCGCUAGCAGAAACAGAAACGGAGAUAGAGGAUCCCCUUGACGGAGUCCUCUUUCAAAAUGAAACUCAUCAGUCGGGCAACCAUUCACUAGUACUGAAGCUGUAGCAGUUGUAACGCACUCCAUAAUCCAAGAGCACCACAGACGCGGAAAUAACAUUUUAUCCAUCACUUCAUCUAAGUACCUCCAAUCCACCAAAUCGUACGCCUUUUUCAAAGUCCACUUUGAACAUAAGUAGCUCUUUAUCAUUAUGUUUUGCAUCAUCUACCAAUUCAUUUGCUAUCAGAAUACCAUCCAAAAUCUGUCUACCCUUAACAAAAGCACACUGAGAAGCCGACACCACACUACCAACCACCUUUCUCAACCGAUUGGCCAAAACUUUAGACAAAAUUUUAUAAACACUACUCACCAAGGCUAUAGGACGAAAAUCAGCUACCCUUUGAGGACUUUCAACCUUUGGAAUCAAAGCUAUGAAAGAAGAAUUAAGGCCUUUAGUUAACUUACCAUGAUGGUAAAACUCCGCAAAAAAGUUCAAUAAAUCAAUCUUUAAAAUGUCCCAAAAGUCUUUGAAAAAGCCCAAAUUAAUACCAUCUGGUCCAGGACAUUUAAAACUAUCACAAUCCCAUACUGCUGCUUUAAUUUCUUCCAACAAGAAAGGUUUGAUGAGAUCCGCCCCAUCCGCCAUUGACAACGAUUUGAAAACCAAACCACUCAUAUCUGGCCACGGUUGUGGACGUCUCUUGAAAUGAUUUUGAAAGUGUUGAAAGAUCAAAUGACGCACAUUCCCCACACCCUCAAUAAUACCAUCCUCGGUUGACAAAGAAAUGAUAGAGUUCGACCUUCUUCUGGAUGACAUGAUACCAUGAAAAAACUUUGAAUUUGCAUCACCUUCCUUCAACCAAUUAAUUCUUGAUUUCUGCCAAUGCAUACUAGCUUGAAGUUUCGAAAAAGCCAUAAUAUCAGCCGAAAGCAUAUGAAUUUCGUUCACUUCCUCAUCACUCAGAGGACUAUUCUCUCCUAUAGCAUCCAAUGUUGCCAUUCUUUGUUUAGCCCCUUGAAUCUUACUGUUAAUGUUAAGAGUAUGAUUCGAAUGCCAACUCCUCAACCUUUCCUUUAAUCUUUUAAGUUUUUCCUUCAGAAUGAAGCCACUCCAACCUUGAACCUGAAACGACUGCCAACUUUCUUUAACAAACUCACCAUACCCUGGAAUAUCCGCCCAACAUUUGAGCAUUCUAAGAGGUUUAGGCCCCCAAUUUUCCUCAUCAAUAGUCAACAGAAUGGGACAAUGGUCCGACAACCCUCUAGGAAGAGCAACUUGAAUACAAUUAGGAAAUAAAGUCGACCAUGAUUCAGAUAAAAGAAAUCGGUCUAGGCGACUCAUCGAAACACCAUCUCCCCGAUACCAAGUAAAAUUACGACCACACAAAGGUAAAUCAAUGAGAGAAUUGCUGUCAAUAAACUGAUUGAAAAAAUCACAGUCAGUUGACACUAUAUUUUCAACUCGGCCUCUCCUUUCUUCACUAUUACGCACAACAUUGAAAUCACCAAGCACACACCAAGCCACAUCACCAUGGACAAAGAACAAAUUAGAAAUGGCUUCCCACAAAAUUUGUCGCCCCCUAUUAUUGCAAGGAGCAUAAACAUUAACUAAACAAAACAUUUCGUGAUUCUUAAUAAACGACCCCUUGAUCAUUAAACAAUUUGCAAUAUUUACCGUCAACCAAACAUCCAAAACACUAGGAUCCCACACAGUAAUAAUACCACCUGACGCACCAACAGAAGGUUUAAAAGAAAAGGCCAUGGGAUCAGGCCCCCAAAUAGAUCGACACAAGUACUCAUCAACCACUUCCACCUUCGAUUCUUGUACACAUAACAUUGACGGCUUCCUCUCGGCAACUAAUCUGUUAACCUCCCUCCUUUUUUCGGAAGCUCCAAGCCCCCUAAUAUUAAUAGAUAAAAUCUUCAUCAAAAAAGCAUCAACACCUCACACACCUCCCCAGCCGCUCCCUCCACACUAAACAAUCAAACUCCCCGUCCACAACCUUCCAACCCUCCAUGAACUCCACUUCGAGAAAGAGCCUGAAAACUGUUGUUACACUGAAUACCAAUCUUUUUUCCCACCUCUAUAAUAUCUUCCUCCACUUCCUUCGCAUUUCCAUGAAGCACAACCCAAUUCUCCCAAUCUUUAGACUUACCAGAAUUACCUGAUCCUGCUGACAAGGAAACUUUAUUUGUCUUGCUAGAAGAAAAAUUGGAAGAUGUUUUAGACGACUUCCCUUUCAAAAAUAGUCUUUUAGAUUUCUUAUCUUUUUUCAAAGACCUGAUCAAUUCCUUUCUGUCUAAUUCUGAGAGUCUUGCUAACUUUUUCAAACCAAGCAACGACGGCGCCACCUUACGUCUUAUAGGUGCGCAUUUCUUAGUGCCAUUAAACACCUCAACGUCAUUCUUCAAUGUUGUGUUCUCGGCCUCAUGAAUAGAAUGGGAAGAAGCUGCAUUUUCCUUCUUAACAAUAUUCUCUGACAUACCUUGAAUGCUUGAACAAAUGGCUGGUACAGCUGCGCUAUCACCUUCCUUCGAAUAUUUAACAAUAUCCUCAUGAAUAUGAUGAACAAGAGCAUCAAUUACAGGCUCUUCAUGUGGUAUACCUUCGGGAACUGAGCAUUGUGAUUUAUUGUCAUCUUCGAAUUCAGAUAAACAAGCAUCCACUGCUAAGCCAAAUUCCAAAUCUUCAAUAAAUCGUAUAGGAUACUUCCUCCCAUCAAUCACAAAAUGUGCAAAAAAAUUCAGUUCUUGCAAUUCAGGUGUUGCUAUCAAAAAACGAGCAUAUUCCAGUCUACCUUUAUUCACAGUAAUCUCAUCAAUUUUGAGAAGACGACCUCUAGUUGAUGCCAAUUCCAAGAAAAAAUUAUCAUUCCAAGCAUGUAAAGGUACCCCAUAGCAUCUAAUCCAAGCACCCCUCUCAUAUUGAACAUUACUGUCUUUCGACCAAGGACGACAAUCACAUAAAAAAUUACCCAAGAAAGCAGCCGCUGAACUAAACAAUUCCGUGACGUCACCAUCCAGACCCGGAGAUAACACUACAUUAUCCCCUCCCAGAGAAAUUAAAUUAAAAUCCAAAAAACCAGCAUCUAAAAAAGAUUGUUGUAUACCAGAGAAGCAAAUACCAUCUUUAACUUUGGCUAAAAGACAUUUGUUAGCCCAAACAACAUCAUCAUGAUAAGGUAAAUACUCUCUAACCACUUCAGAUGCAACACAUACCACAAACAGACUCACUUCCUUCCCCAACAACCAUUUUCGACCUCCCUUCCUCCUUCAACACCUCUGGUUUCUCCUUCACCACCAUCCCCUCCACCUUUCUACCACAAACAACAUCCCCCACUUUGAUCACGCUCUCCCUCUCUAACUCACUACGAAUGGCUGCCACCUUCACCUUUCCUAGUACCAAUUUCCUACUAUCACCUUUCUCAGUCUCUCUAACUAACAACUCCCUCGGUUUUUUCCUUCCUUAUUUCCCCUAUUAUUUUCUCCCUAAAGCCUCUUCUCUACAUCACCCUCAACAAACCUAUCAAACUUAGCUACGUUUUCAAACAAUCUAAGAUCCCAAAAGAAAACAUUAUUGAGUGCUUUUUUCAAUUUGUCAACAUCACGUACCUUCAAAAAUUUUGCAAAACCAAACCGUUGUCCACGCACAUUACGAAACUGGGAAAGAUACACAUCCGCUAAAAUACCACACACCUCCAAAACUUUCUUCAAAUCCACAAACAGAAGACGAUCCGGGAAAUUCGUAAUGUAAAACACAGCUGAGUCAUGACUAACAUUGCUGCCGCUGCCAUUAUCGUCCCUGCUUCCUUGAUCUGCAUAGUUAUAGACACCAUUGGAGUGUCCACGAGAACGCUGCUGAACAGACCCCAAGGGAAAGAAUCUGCGCGCUGGAAUCUUAACUGAAGAGUACCUAGACUUGUGUCUGUUUGAUGCAUCACGCGAGCAAGAAAACGGACGCCCUUGCUUGGAAGUCAGGGAGCGUCCGCGUACAGAACCAGAAAAAACCCUAACCAUAGGAGAAGAUGCACAUGCUCCCAGUCUACUGUCAAACCUGAAGCGAUCAAAAACCCUUCCAGACUGAUCAAACCGCCUCUCCUGAACGUGCCCCUUACCUCCAUGUCCGUUGAAACGACGCUGUCCGCUCCGUCCGUCCUGUUCCGGUCUCAAUGAUUUCCUUCUCCUAUUUCUCACCCAGACCCAUUCCCCAUAUGUCCCACCCUUUUCUGCCUCCCCGGCAUAUGGCCCUUCCCCCCCGUUCGAACGCGUGACCGGCGAAGGAGACCGGCGUGAUGGUUGCCGGAAGCCAGCAGGUCGUGCGCCCUCUCUCCUAAACUCUCUCAUAACGUGUAAAUAUUAUUCAAUGGAUUGAUGUAUUAUAUGAUUGUUUAUCAUGUUAAUAUGUUAACUUCUUAUAAAACAUUUCAUAGUGUCUAUAAUUUAAAAAUGAAAAGUAAACCUCCCCUCCUAAACCCUCCAUCCAAGCACAUCCUUAAAAAACAUUACAUAAAGACUUUAAUAGAAAGUGAAACAUGUCCUUAAUUUGGUUAAGUCUAGUCUUCCAUCUCAAAGUUUCGAAAUGAUCAUCUCUGAAUCAAACAUAAACCUAUGAUAAAUAAAAAGAAAAUAAGGCUUCAAUUAUUUGUUUUUUUUUUUUUAUCAAGGUUAUGGGCUUGGUUUUUUUUUGUUUUGUUGUGUUUUUGAUAAGGUCAGAGCAUAAGACAUCAAGAAAGAGAAUAUGUGAUUUCUCAACUAUACUUUAAACAUGUGCCUAGUGCUCAUAUAUAUUAUUUAAAAAAGGUAAAAAAAAUACAAGAGAAAACUGGGGGGACAUAGAUCUAACCCAGUAAAACCGCCCAAGUGUGUAAGUCGACCUCAAACGGGUGAUACAAAAAUUAAAACCAACACACAAGUGUAUCAACCUCUAAUUAAUCCUAAAACUAACUAAAGGUCUUUGAUGCGGUGAUUGAACCCUCCGUCAACACGGACACGAUUCAUGUACCAUCAACUCCCUACAACAAUGGCAGCAAGCUAAACGACCAUUUCGAGCCUCACAGUCCAAAUCAAACGAAGUGAAUGACAGAUAUUAUUAAACUAGCGUAUGAAUCGUCUGUCAACAUAGAAACAAUUCAAGAUUCAUCAACUCCAUGCACGGCAACAAGCAUUAGCGACUCUUUCGAACCCACACCGUCCUAUGUCAAAUAGAAGGAUGACUAGGAUACAAAACCACAUACCCAUCUUCCCUUGCACGGCUGACGCAUUCCUGAAACUUUGAAAUCCUGGAGAUCUCAGCAAAUCUAUAAUAGAAUUAGGAAAAACAAGCCAAAAAUGAACCGCAGCCAUUUUGCAAUUGAAACAUGGAACCGUCUCUGCCGCCACUUCUAAGGAAGAUAACACGACUUUAAACAAAAACCAAACGAACUCAGAUGUUGCAGAUCUAGCAACACCGGAUUUUCCACCAUCUACUCGAACCACCAAGUAAGUACGACGAGACAAUGUUUUGAAACAAGUCACGGGAUGCAGCAACUGUGACUAUGAAAAAACUCAAUUCGACCGGCGGCAACAAGGACACCGAAUCGACUCUUUCCUCACCUACGCAGUGUUGAAGUGGUGCAACGUUUACGGGUUUGAUUACACCUUAAAUAAAACUAUGAGUAUUGUAAAUAUCAAGAUAACGGGCUUGAUUACAACUUAAAUAAAACUUUCCUAUAAUAAUUUUGUGUCACAAUAUUCAGUUAAACAUCGAGGUUUUUCAAUAUAACAACUAGUUUUUGGAAAAUUAUUCUUAAUUCUCGUGAAUGAAUUCUAAUAUUCGUGGUAAAAAUUCAACAAAAUAUGAAAACUAUAAUAUAGAAGAUCAAAUUAUAGUUUUAUCAUUUAUUAAAAUAAUUAUAUUAUGAAAUACAUAAUAGACCAUUCUCAAGCUCACAUUUAUUAUUGAAUAAGUAACUAUAUAGCUACAAAAUGUUAAGGAUUUGUAGCCUUUGCAGGAGGAGGUCGUCGGAAGCAGCAGAUGGCUGGAAUAGGAGGAGGAGGACAUGGUCCAAAUGGAAUACAAACCUUUUUCACAUUUCCAUGAACAAUUUCAUUUCCUUGAACACCACCAAACAUUGUGCACAAAACAGCAAAAAGCAUUACCACCAUCUUCAAAGAAGCCUCCAUUUCAACUCAACUUGUUCGACAAAUAAAAUCAAAGAUGUUAUUAACUUGUUAUGAUAUGCUAGACUAGUGAUGUGUGUACCUAUUUAUACAAAUUUGAAAAUGUUGAUAAUUACGUAAAUGCAAAUCUUAGAAUCAUAUUUUUUUAACUUUAAUUAAUUUUUUAUUCUUUGUGUGACUCUUUUUAAGUCAAAAAACAGGUACAAAUAAAGGGAAAAAAUAUAUGGACAUAAAGCUAACCCAAGAAAAUAAAUAAAAAAGGUGAAAAGAUAAAUUAAAGAGUGAUAAUUUAUAGAAAAAUAUUUCUUAUUAUUUUUUAUAUGAAAAUAUUUCUAAAGAUAUGUUGAUCAAGAAAAAAUAGUGAUAAUAUACUUUUUACUUCUAGAUAGAGAUAAAUUAAGGAGUGCUAAUUUAUUGAAAAAGAGAAAAAAUAGUGAUAAUAUACUUUUUACUUCUAGAUAAAGAUAAAUUAAAGAGUGUUGAUUUAUAGAAAUAUAUUGCUUAUUAAUUAUUUUUACAUAAAAAUGUUUCUAAAGAUAUUGGUUGAGAAAAAAGAGUUUCAGAUUUUAUAAUCCGGAAUGGUUAAAAGGGUUUCAGAUUAUACAAUCCGAAAUGUAGUUUUACAAAGAUUAUACAAACAUCAAGGUGCAACAGGUUUCAACAGUUUAUGAACUUUUUCGAUUUUAGAAUUCAAACUGGCUUCGGAUUCUAAAAUUUGAAUAAAGGGUGUUUUUGGAAAAUAAUAGGGCGUGAAAGAAAGCAAUAGGGUGGAAAAGUAAUCUCUAUUGUAUAUUAGUUAGAGAUAAUUAAGGCCCAAGGUAGGCAUACAUGAUGCCCAAGAUACUUGGUUCCGAAGAAAGUGUCAUUGUAUAAAUAGACAUUAAAGCAUAAUGAAACGGUAAGGAAAACAAUUCUUUCAUGGUAUCAAAACUUAUCAAAUUCAAGGGUCACCUAUCUAUCCAUGCACUACGCCAAAAAAGUGUUGGGCGUGUGAGGGAGGUGUGUUGAAAAAAACUCAAGUCCUACAUCGGAUAGAUAAGACUCUUCAUAAGAGUUUAUAAGAGGAGACACUCUCACCUUACAAGUCGGUUUUCUAACGAUGCGUUAAGCCCCAAUUUCAACACAUAUUAAAGGUAUAUGUUAUCAUAUAGUAUAAAAACUAACUUGUAUAUAAAGAAGAAGAAAAAGGUUUGGGAUGAGUUGGCGAGGCAAUAGCCACACCAAGCCUUAAACAAGUCCGCUCUUGAGUAUCGAUAGAGUGAAAGCCAUUGUUGACGUCGACGAGUCGCACAUUAAGUAAAUAAAAUUGGUAAUAAUGUUAGAAUUUAAGCUCAUUAGGAGAACCGACUAAUCUAUUAGGUGGAGAACAUCAUGAUUUAAAUAUGAAAUUAUAAUCUUCCAUCUAUUCAUAUUAUUGUAUUAUUAAAAACAUAAUAGAACUUUCACAAGCUCACAUUUCUUAUUCCGAAAAGUAACAAAAAAGCUACAAAAGUUUAAGGAUUUGUAGCCUUCCCAGACGGAGGGGGACAACAUGGACCUGGCCUAAAGCAUGGCAAAUAUGGCAAACAAGCCUUUCCUCCUCCAGUCUCUUGAACAACUUCAUUCCCUUGAAUUCCUCCAACAAGUGUGCUCACAAUGGCAAAAAGCAUUACCACUAACUUCAACACUACCUUGAAAGAAGAAUCCAUUUAACUUCACUUUCUCGACAAAUAAACCUAAGUUGUUAUUAGCUUGUAAUGAUAAAUAAGAGGGUUAUGUACCUAUUUAUACAAAUUUACAAAAUGUUUAUAAUUAACUCAUUUCCAUUUUCAAUGUGCAAAUUUUAGAAUAAUUUUUUGACUGUAAGUAAUUUUUUAUUCUUUGUUUGAAUUCUAUUAAAGCUAAAAAAUAGAUUACAAUAAAGGAAAAAAAUAUAGGAACAUAAACCUAAUCAAACAAAAUAACAAAAAUGACAAAUUAAAGGGUGUGCAUUAAUAGAACAAUAUUUCUUACCACUCUUUUAUUAUAGAAAAAUAGUUCAAAAGUAUAUUGGUAAAAAAAAUAGUAUUAUUAUACUUUUAACUUAUGGUAAAAGAAACCAAAAAAAAAAAGAUAUUGGUCAAAAUUCAAUCGAGAUUCUUAAAGUUAAGCCACUAAGAUUGAUGUAGUGGUGAGGGGAUUGAGUAGCAAGGAUGAGGUCCUUAUUUCAAACCUCAUUGCCUCAAUGGUAAUUAAUUUAUGAAAACAGGGAAUGGAGGGAUAUAUUUAUGAAAAUAAGGAAAAAAAUAUAUGGACAGAAAGCUAACCCAACAAAAUCAAUUGUAAUAAAAAGAAUAAAAAAGGUGAAAAGAUAAAUUAAAGAGUUUUAAUUUAUAGAAAAAUCUUUCUUAUUAUUUUUUUUUUAUAUGAAAAUAUUUCUAAAGAUAUACUGGUUGAAAAAAAAUAGUGAUAAUAUACUUUUUUAUUUCUAGAUAAAUAUAAAUUGAAGAGCGUUAAUUUAUAGAAUUUUUUUUCCUAUAAAUCAUUUUUAUUUAAAAAUAUUUCUAAAGAUAUUGGUCGAGCAAAAAGGGUUUCGGAUUCUAUAAUCCAAAAUGGCUAAAAGGAUUCCGGAUUAUACAAUCUAAAACGUAGUUUUACAGAAAUUACACAAGCAUUUCCAAGGUGCUCCAGGUUCCAACAACUUAUUAACUUUUGGAUUUUAGAAACCAUACAUGUUUCAGAUUCUAAAAUCCGAACAAAGAGUAUUUUUCGAAAAUAAUAGGGCGCAUGAAAAUGCAAUAGGGUGGGAAAAGUAAUUCCCUAUUGUAUUUUAGUUAAAGAUAAUUGAGGUCCAAAUUAGACAUACAUGAUGCCCAAGAUAAUUGGUGCCCAAGACAAUGUCUCUGUAUAAGAGAAUUGACCUUCUCCCAUUUGGUUUUGCUCAUUCCCGUAAAAAAGCUCAGACUGAGUUAACUCAUGUUGUUGUAUUUUCAACGUGAGUUAACUCACGUAGGUGUAUUUUUCUGCGUGAGUUAACUCACGUUGGAAGAGAAUGAGCAAAAUCAAAUGAGAGAAGAGCAAUUGUCAUUGUAAAUAUACACAUUACAACAUAAUGAAACAAUCAAGAAAAACCAUUCUUUCAUGGUAUUAGAACUUGUCGAAUUCAAGGGUCAUUUACCAAUCCACGCACCAAGCCCAAAAAGAGUGUUGGGCGUGAGGGGGGUGUAUUCCGAAAAACUCAAAUCCUAUAUCGGACAAAUAAGAGUCUUCAUAUGAGUUUAUAAAGAGGAGACACUUUCACCUACCAAGUCAGUUUUGUAAGGCUCGGCAAGGCUCCAAUUUUAAAACAUAGUAAAGGUAUAUAAUAUAAUAGAGGAGACAUUCUCACCUUACACUCUUGCAUUUGAGUUUUCUUUUAAAAGAACAAGAAUCACUUAAGUGAAUAAGCUAGAAACCACUUAUAUCAAUAAGUGCAAUAUCCCUACUCAACAAUAAAAUAAAAAGUUUAUCAUCAGUUGCACAGUAGUAUCACAAUCUCCACGAAGGUUUAUAUAGUAGGCUUUAUGACUUAAUGAUGAACAAAAUGGAGACUGUAGAAUAUAUGAAUGCUUUAGGUUGGGGAGUUAAUGGUGACGCAUGGAAGUCGUGAAUGAGGUAGUUUGCUUGGGAAGAGGAGUUGGUGGGGAAGUGUGUUGAGCAGUAAAAUUCAGUUGUUUUGUAGGUUGGUAUGGCAGGUCAAGGGUUUGAAAGUUGCAUUCGUCCAAAUGUUAUACAUUCAACAUUUCUUACAACAACUUGAUUGAAGUGGAAGAAAACAUCUAUCCGGCUAACAAUCAUAUUUUAUUGUUAAAAGAGGUUCCGAUAAAAAUUUAUAUUUUUGCUUGAUGUUUGCUUCUUAAUUGUGAUCCGACAAAGGAUAAUAUGCUUAGUCGGCGGAUUAUUGCUCUAAACGAUCAAAAUUAUUCGACAAAUUAUGUUUUGAAUGAAGACAUGGAACAAUUAUUUUUUAAAUGUGAUUUUUAUCGUAGAACUUGACCUCCAAUUUCAAUUAUUGUGUAUAUAGGUGAGUAUAUGCUUUAAAACGCAAACAUUAGAAAGAAAAUAAUAUUUGUAGUAAAAGUACAGUAACAUAUGAAAACUAAAGUGUAAACUUCUGAAUUAUAAUCUCCCAUUUAUUCAUAUUAUUGUAUUAUUAAAAACAUAAUAGAACUUUCACAAGCUCAAGUAUGUUAUUCCAAACAUUAACAAAAAAGCUACAAAAGUUUAAGGAUUUGUAGCCUUCCGAGAUGGAGGGGGGCAACAUGGGCCUGGCCUAUGGCAUGGUAUAUAUGGCACACAAACAUUUCCUCCCCCAGUCUCUGGAAUAACUUCAUUCCCUUGAACUCCUCCAACAAGUGUGCUCACAACGGCAAAAAGCAACACCACUAGCUUCAACACUACCUUGAAAAAAGAAUCCAUUUUAACUUAACUUUCUUGACAAAUAAACUAAAGUUGGUAUUAGCUUGUAAUGAUAUGUAAGAGGGAUGUGUACUAAUUUAUACAAAUUUACAAAAUGUUGAUAAUUAACUAAAUUUCCAUUUACUAUGUGAAAAUUUUUGAAUAACUUUUUUUGACUUUAAGUAAUUUUUUUUUUCUUUUUUUGAAUUCUAUUAAAGCUAAAAAUAGAUUACAAUAAAGGAAAAAAUAUAGGAACAUAAACCUAACCAAACAAAAUAACAAAAAUUAAAAUUAAAGGGUGUGAAUUAAUAGAAAAAUAUUUCUUAUGACUAUUUGAUUGUAGAAAAAUAUUUAGAAAGUAUAUCGGUAAAAAAAAUGGUAUUAAUAUACUUUUAACUUAUAGUAAAAGAAACAAAAAAAAAAUGAUAUUGGUCAAAAUUCAGUUGAGAUUCUUAAAUUUAAGUCACUAAGAUUGAUAUAGUGGUGAGGGGAUUGAGUAGCAUGCAUGAGGUCCUUAUUCCAAAUCUCACUGUCUCAAUUGUACACAAAAAAUUUGAUAUUCUUAAAUUCACUUAUUUAAUCUUAUAAAUUAAUUUAAGAAAAUAAGGAAUGAAGGGAUAUAUUUAUAAACUUAUAUACGUGGUUAAAAAUUUAGUUCACAUACAUAAAUAUUUCAACUACUAUUUUUUUAUUUAUAUUUAACAGCGUUCAGACGGACACUCAUGUGCCCAUCUAUCCGCUUUUUCUCCGACGCUAACGUUAUAUUCUUAAAUAUAUUUCUUUAUAUAAAUUAUUAUAUGGUAUGUUAGACACAAGUUUAAUUUAUUAAACACCUUGUAGAAGAGUAAUUUAAACGUCAUGAAUAGAGAUUUCUUGUUUUAAUUUAAACGUGAUAGCUUGAUAAGUCAAGAUAAGUUAGAUAAAAUAUAUCUUUUGUCUGAUGAAUAUAGAUCUCUUGUGCAGAUUGCUAAAUUAGAUAAAAUAGUUACCUAAGAUUAUUAAUACAAAAGAUAAUUAUUAUUGACAAUGUCUCAAAGGAUAAUCAUUGGCAAAUAAUAUAUUUAGCCGAUAUAAUUUUUUAAAUGAAUGCAACAAAUACGUAUUUUCCCUUUGAGCUAAUAAUUCUCAUUUCAUCCUGUUCUAAUGAUGUAUUUUAUCUUAAAUCAAUGUCGCACAUUCAAGAGAAUAAAUUUUUUGACGAUGAAUCUAUUAUUAAAAUAAUCAUAGGAUUAGUGAAACGAUGUUGACAUUCUGAUAUGAAGUUUAUUGAUGACAUUUUUGAUGGUGUUCAUUUACGUUUUUUCUCGAAGGAAGUGUUAAUAUACUUUGACAUGUGAUAUUAUUGUUGAUCAAUGUCAAAGUAUCACAAUUGCAAAUAAGGUAAAGAUACAUAUUCAUGAUGAUUAAUAGCAAAUUAAAUUCAUUUUAAUUCAUGUCAUAUCGAGACAGCAAUUCGGAUUCAUGAUGAUCAACUGAAUCAAAUUCAAUAAAUUUGCCAUUAUAAAAUAUGAGAUAUUUACUUGAAAGAAAAAAAAAAAAAAAAAAUAUUUAUACAAUGAUGUCCCAACGGAUAUUGAACAAAUUUUAAAUCAAAUUCCAAAAACAUUCUUAUCUGUCCGGUAAGAGACUGAUGUAGACAGCAGUCGCAGAAAGUGCUAUAGUACGGUGUCGACGAGUUUUCGCGGUAAAACGAAAGGUGUCUGCAGUCACGUUAGCACGCUAACGCUCAAAUCAUUAUUGGAAUUGAGAAAGGGUGUGCAAAACGUGUGCGAAAGGUGAAUCGUACUUUGAAGGUGAAUCUAAGUCACCCUUAUAAUGGCGUGAGUGAGAAUAACUCUUCCAUAAGAUGCGACACAUGAUUAGGAGGAAGUUAAAGGACAUGUGUAUGGCGACUGAUGCACAAAAGCGUGCUCUAGUGAGGUGGUGUACACUGACUGCAGACAUCUUUCGUAGCCUAGUGGGCGUUUGGUCCAUGUGUCAUAGUGGAAGUGGCCUUCUGACCAGUCCAGAACACAUUACCUUUUUAAGAAAAUCAUUUUUACAUAAAAAUAAUAAUCAUUUUUCAAUUCUAAAAAAAUUCAGUAUUUAAAAAAAAAAAGCAUAAACCCUAAGUGGUAAUGAAGAUAGUUCAUGCGCUCUUAUCUAGCUAUCUCAUCGACUGUCUCUGUAAUCUAUAAGUAUAAGAUAUACAUAUUCAGAAUGAGGAACACAAAUUCGCAACCUCGUCGCUCGCUAUCAAACAUUUUCUGUUGUCAAUUUAAAUUUGUCUAUAGAAUGAAUUACUGGUAGUUUUAUGGAGAGCUUGUUGAAGAUAAUUUUUUACAACUCUUUUGUAUCUUAUUGUAAAGAACUCAUUGAUAGUGGAUUGAAGAAAUCAAUCUCCCCUAACGUCGGUCAUUGUUGGAACGAAAUGCUAAUUGAUGUUGUUCUUUUUUCUCUAUUAUCUUUAUCUUGUUUAUUCUUUGAUUAUUGGUUGCUAUUGAUACUUGCACCACAAAUUUAAAUUUGAUUGUGUGAGAUUUGGAGUUACUAAGUUCACAUCAAUCAUUAUAUUUAUCUAAUUCACGAAACAAUUAAGAGACAUCGUAAUAAACAUGAUAUUCCAGUCUCUAAAAAGCACCAUCAUCACAAUCUGCCUUAGCAAACCAGCCGUCAUGAAAAUGCAUACAUGAUAGAACCAAUUCUAACACCAAGAAAUGUCAAAAUAUAUAGGAGAACAACAUUGAUACCUAUAUAUUAUCUAUUUCUUUCAUCAUAUUUAUCCCUUUUUGUAAGCAUAUAUUUGUGAGUGGAAACCGGUGCUUAUAAAAAGAGACGGAGAAAGUAAUAAUCAGGCAUGAAUAACCAAAGCAAUUACUCUAAUAAGAAAAUAUUGAUUUAAGUUAGGGACAGUAUUUUAAGGUGAUGCUCACCCAAAAGGAGCCAAAGCAGCAAAUAUGAACAUAAUUCAUAACUUUUAUUUUAUUAAAAAGUUUCAAAGCAUUAUUUAAAAAACUAAAACAAAUCCAAACUAAAUGCAUGACAAUAUUCUCCUUAAUCUAUAUGAUUAAAAAAUCUUCCUCAUAUUUUUCACUUGCCUCCUCCACCUUUUCUUCAAAUAUUUCAGUUGCCUCCUCUACCUUUUCAUCCUCUUGAGCCAAUUGUUGUUUAUCUUUAUCUGCUUUCAGUUGAGCUUUUUCAGUCUUUUUCUUUGCAUCCUCCUUUUCCUUUUUCUUUGAAAUCUCAAGAGAUUGAAUCAAAUUCUUCACGCAAGUCUCAACAUCUUCAAUGAUCGUCUUUGGCAUCAAAUUCUCAGCAACAUCAGCAGGUGUCAUAUUAGUCUCUCCCAACAACUUUUCAAUAAUUGGAAACAAAUCAUCAUGAGACUCAACAUCUAAGUAGUU
This 77017-nucleotide long non-coding RNA is filed under the name Medicago truncatula (barrel medic). Its description in RNAcentral is "long non-coding RNA (MTRU_LNC003802)". The stretch from base 8291 to 8480 matches the Rfam family "MIR2619 microRNA precursor family". Lineage: Eukaryota; Viridiplantae; Streptophyta; Magnoliopsida; Fabales; Fabaceae. The record is from RNAcentral.